Molecule: long non-coding RNA, 82204 nt
Filed under: Populus tremula
Lineage: Eukaryota; Viridiplantae; Streptophyta; Magnoliopsida; Malpighiales; Salicaceae
Description: long non-coding RNA (PTRE_LNC003392)
Source: RNAcentral
GGCAACAACUUCUGUCAAGCACAUGGAGAAAUUGUCUGAAGAAGAUUCUUGGCAGUUGUUUCAACAGCUUGCAUUCGGGAUGAGAAGGAAAGAGGAGCGGGCACACCUGGAAGCCAUUGGAGUAUCAAUAGUGAAGAAGUGUGGUGGUGUUCCUUUAGCUAUAAAGGCACUAGGGAACCUAAUGCGGCUAAAAGAAAGUGAAGAUCAGUGGAUAGCUGUCAAAGAAAGUGAGAUUUGGGAUCUAAGAGAAGAAGCAAGCGAGAUCUUACCUGCUUUGAGGUUGAGUUACACUAAUCUAUCACCACAUUUGAAGCAAUGCUUUGCGUAUUGCGCUAUAUUUCCAAAAGAUGAGGUGAUGAGGAGGGAGGAGCUGGUUGCUUUGUGGAUGGCAAAUGGCUUUAUUUCUUGCAGAAGAGAAAUGGAUUUGCACGUCAUGGGUAUUGAGAUAUUCAAUGAACUAGUGGGAAGGUCAUUUCUGCAAGAGGUCGAGGAUGAUGGAUUUGGCAACAUAACAUGUAAAAUGCAUGAUCUUAUGCAUGAUCUUGCACAAUCCAUUGCAGCACAAGAAUGCUAUACGACAGAAGGCGAUGGGGAGUUGGAAAUUCCUAAGACUGCCCGUCAUGUUGCUUUUUAUAACAAAUCAAUAGCUUCGUCUUCUGAAGUUCUCAAGGUCCUAUCACUUCGCUCACUUCUUGUGAGGAAUGAACAGUAUGGGAAUGGAUGGGGAAAGAUUCCUGGUCGAAAACAUCGAGCCUUGAGUUUAAGAAAUAUCCGGGCCAUGCCGAAGUCAAUUUGUGAUUUGAAACAUCUAAGGUAUCUAGAUGUAUCAGGCUCCGAGAUCAAAACACUGCCUGAAAGUACAACCUCUCUCCAAAACCUCCAGACACUAGAUCUGAGUUCUUGCAAACAGCUCAUCCAUUUACCAAAAGGUAUGAAGCACAUGAAAACUCUUGUCUAUCUUGACAUAACGGGUUGUUAUUCACUUCGAUUUAUGCCUGCUGGAAUGGGGCAAUUGAUAUGCCUGCGAAAACUUACCCUGUUCAUUGUGGGUGGGGAGAAUGGUCGUCGCAUAAGUGAGCUGGAAAGGCUGAAUAAUCUUGCUGGUGAAUUGAGGAUCGUAGAUCUUGUGAAUGUUAAGAAUUUAAAAGAUGCCACAAGUGCCAAUUUGAAGUUGAAGAAAGCUCUUUUAUCACUGACUUUAUCUUGGUAUGAGAAUGGAUCUUACCUUUUUCACCCUGGAUCAUUAGUGCCACCGCAGCAAAGAAAGAGUGUUAUUCAGGAAAAUAACGAGGAGGUCCUUGAAGGGCUUCAGACUCAUUCAAAUCUGAAGAAGUUGAGGAUAUGCGGAUAUGGAGGUUCAAGAUUUCCUGAUUGGAUGAUGAACUUGAACAUGACGCUACCAAAUCUGGUAGAGAUGGAGCUAUCAGCAUGUGACCACUGUGAACAACUUCCACCAUUGGGGAAACUGCAGUUCCUCAAGAGUCUUGUAUUGCGUGGAAUGGAUGGUGUGAAGAGUAUUGACAGCAAUGUGUAUGGAGAUGGGCAAAGUCCAUUCCCAUCUUUGGAGACGCUGACUUUUAAGUACAUGGAGGGAUUAGAGCAAUGGUCUGCGUGUACUUUUCCUCGCCUUCAAGAAUUGAGGAUAUUCGAUUGCCCUAUGUUGAACGAAAUACCAAUUAUACCCUCUGUCAAAUCACUGCACAUCGAGAGAGUGAAUGCUUCGUUGCUGAUGUCAGUUAGGAAUCUCACUUCUAUCACCUCCCUUCAUAUAGAAGAGAUUCCAAAUGUGAGGGAGCUUCCCGAUGGGUUUUUGCAAAAUCAUACCCUCCUUAAAAGCUUGACUAUUUGGGAUUGUGAUGAACUUGAAAGCUUGCCAGAGGAAGGUCUUCGUAAUCUCAAUUCCUUGGAGGUUUUAAACAUAGGUGGUAGAAGAUUAAAUUGUUUGCCAAUGAAUGGGCUGUGUGGUUUAUCUUCUCUUCGUAGUUUAAAUAUUCAAUAUUGUGAUAAAUUCACAUCCCUAACUGAGGGAGUGCGGCAUCUGACUGCGCUUGAGGAUUUGUUACUUGAAGGAUGUCCAGAGCUGAAUUCAUUGCCAGAGAGUAUCCAACAGCUCACUUCUCUCCGAUCUCUAUACAUUUAUAAUUGUCCAAAUUUGAAGAAAAGGUGUGAGAAAGAUUUAGGAGAGGACUGGCCUAAGAUAGCUCGCAUUCCUGAUAUUAGAAUCAAUUAAAAUUGAUAUGCAAAAUUUGUAAUGAUAAUAAAAUAUAUAUUUUCGUAGUUUUAAUUUGUUGUAAUUGUUUAAAUAAUUUUCUCAAAUUGAUUGUUGUUUUAUUCUUCAUAUAAAUGUGUAAAAAUGAUUGGUUCAUUAUUUGUUUUAAUUGAAACUUGUUUUACUACUGUAAUAGGUUUUUUUUCCUUAACACACAAUACUUCUCAUAAAAAAAAGCAUAAAAUUAAGCCAAUUAAGUUUUUUUUUUGGUUACUUCAAAAGAAAACUUGUAUAAGAAAAUCAACUGUUGAGGUUUCUCAACUAAAAUAUCAAUCUUAUAAACAUCCUUUUAGCCUUUAUGAAGACGUAAUUUUACUUAAUUAAAUGAAACUUAUAAUAUUUUGCGUGUUUUGCCAUUAAAGAUUGCCGUGGAAAAAUAUUCGCUCGAUUGCCUUUUAUCCAUUUAAAACUUUUUAAACUUAAAAUUAAAUAUACAUUGCUCGUACCAUAAAAAUACACAUUGAUUUUGUCCUUUUUAAUAAUAUUUAUAUAUUAAUUCAAAUUUUUUUAAAAAAUAAUUAACUUAAUCAAGUUCUUAUUUAAUUUUUCAAGAUCUAGAAAAAUAAUCCUUAUAUUAAUUAUAUUGUAAUCAUUAAUUUUUAAUAUAUAUAUGGUUCGGGGGGGUUUUUUUUGUUUUUUUUUUUUAGGUCGACCUACUAGCUAUUUGGUAAUUUUAAAAAAUAAAUACUAUAAAAAAACUAUUGACAUGUGCAACUCAUGUGUUAGCACAUGUAAGGUCGUCCAGUGACCAAAAUCAAUCAUCUACGAUGAUGUUUGGAGUGGCCCAUUGUUCGCUUCAUAUUGGCGAGAUGUGUGUUAACAGUAAAGGUGUGAUUGGGCUCUAAUGAGCUUUUUUUUCUUUUCCUUUCUUUUUUUCUCUUAACUUAGAAAUUCAUGUCAGCCCUUUCAAAAAUUGAUUGUGUCCUCUAGUUUUUAUUUAUAUUAAUUUUAGUUCUCAUUCUUUUAAUUACUAUUUGUUUUGCUUGUAAUACUUUUUUGAAGUUUUUUUUUUAAAAAAAUUCAUACCUAAAAAUUUUGUUUCAUAUAGUUUUUGUAUUCAAUUUAGUCCUCAUUCUUUUGAUUUCUGUUUUCAUAUUAUUUUCUUGGGUUUUUAUUUUUAUUUUUAACCCUCAACAUUUUAUUUUAUUUUAUUUCUUUAUCAAAUAAUGGUUCUCAUUCUUUUUAUUGCUAUUUUUUAAUCUUUUUUCUUAAUUUAUUUUAUUUUUUAAUUUAAUCCCUAAUUAUUAUUAUUAUUAUUAUUUGGAUUUUAUACCAUAUUUGAUCCUUAUUAUUAUGAUUACUAUUUGUUUUGUUUUGAAAAAAAAUAUGAUUGGAAAUUUUACUUUAUUAGUUUUUUUUUGUUUACUUUUCUGCACGGUAAUCAUAUUCUCAUGAUUUGGAUAAUUAGUUUUGAAUAUUAGCCCAAUUUAUGUUAGGUCUUUUUUUUUUCUUUACUAAUUUUUUUUUCAAUUUCAUCAUUUGACAUUGGGUUAUUGGGGUUUGAGCUUUGUUAUAUGUUCAACUUUUAUUUUUUAGUUUAUAUCGAUCUUCUAUCUCGGGUGGAGGGUUAGUCGAGUUAACACAAGUUGACUAAAUGUUUUUUUGCCUCAAAUUAUUUUUAAGAAAUUAUAUAUUUUUUUUUAUUGACCCUUGAGCUUUGUGAUUCUUUCACAUUUUUUAUGUGGGGUCAUCCUAAGUGCAGGUUAGUCAAGUUAACUUGGGUUUUAUCUGACGUUUCUUUUAUUUAACUUUAGUAUUUUAUUCUAGGUCCUUUUAAAAAAUAUAUUUAAUUUUUUUUUAUCCUGAUCUCAUAUUAUGGAUGGUAGGUUGGUCAAGUUAACUUAACUUGACCUGAGUUUUUUUUUUUUAUGUUACUUUUUCUUAAAAUUAAUUUUUUAAAAAAUGUUAUCAUUUGCCAUUAGGUCAUUGGGCUUUGAGUUUUGUUAUGUUUUUUUUUGUCACUUUCUUUUCUUCAAGGUAAUCUUGAUUUCAUAUCAUGUGUUGCAUGUAUAGUCAAGUUAAACCGUGUUGAUUGAGGUUAUUAUCGCUUAGACAUCUUUUAUUGCAUGAGAAAAAAACUUAACCACACCCACAACGUUACGCCAAACACCUACCUAUUUACUAUUAAAAAGAGAUUUAUAGCAUAAGUAAAGCCGUGUGUUUUUUUGGUUGGACUGUACUUUUUACAAAAUUUAAAUUUUUUUCUUUUGCUUUCAAUUAAAUUUUUUAAGUUUUUGAAUUGUUUUAAUAUCUUUAUAUCAAAAAUAAAUUCUAGAAAAUAAAAUUAUUUUAAUGUAUUUAAAAAACUAUUCUCUGUUAAGAAAAAUUGUAUAAUUACCAUCACCAAACAUGUGAUGUUUUGUAAUAAAAAGGAAUGAGAAAAUACAAUAAAGCCCUUGGAGGCUUAAAGAAAGGGUAAAUGAUUGAAGGGUGUUGUGGUAAUUGACUAAUAGUUGAUAAAUAUAUAUAAGAAUAAGAAAAAAAAAAAAAAAAGGAUCUGAAUUUGGAGAGAGAACCGGCAGGAGAGAAGAGAGGAAGAAGAAGAAGAAGAGAAAAGAGGGGAAAAUAAGGGAAAAAGGAAAAAGAUUGAAGAAAAUAAGUAAAAAGGUAAGAUUUAUGGUUUUAAGUGUAUAAUAUGUUAAAUUUCGGUUUUGAUUAAUUUUGAGAGUUUUGAAGUUUGUAUUUUGAGUUAAUUGAUGAAUUAAUUUGAAGGUUAGGAGUUGAUUAUUGUGGGUAUUUGAUUAAUUAGUUGAUUUUGAGAGAUUGAAUUGAAAGAUAAUGAUUUUGAGUUAUGAUUUUGUUUAAAUGGUGAAAUUUGUUAGAAAUCAGGGGAUAACAGUAGGUGAUCUGUUGAAAUUCUGGGUUUGAGGUUGAAGAUGACGAAAAUUCAGUUUGGUCCCUCAAUUUGUGAAAUUGCAGUUUAGUCCCCGAACUUUGGAAAUUUUACAGAUUGGUCCCUGGGGCAUAAAUUGAGGUUCUGAACAGAACUGAGGAUGAUUUAAGGACAAAAUUCCAGUAUAAUUAAUAUUUUCAGUUUGGUCCUCCAAUUUGACAAAUUAAUUUGACCCUAAAUUUGUAAAUCACAUGGUCCUUGGGCAUAAUUCAAGAUUCUGGACAGAUAAGGACGAAUUAUGGAUAAAUUUCAGUAUGGUAUAUAUAUUUACAAUUCGGUCCUCAAAUUUGGUAAAAUUACGUUUUGGUCCCUGUUUUGGAAAAUUGUCGUUUUAGUCCCUAAACUUGGGAGAUUAAGCCCGGUUUAUUUUAUGCAUUGGGAUCUUUUGUUUGAUUUGUUUUUGAGUAUAUUUCAUAUAUUUAUUGUAGGUUCUCCUAACGAUCCUUAAUCGGAUUUUCGGGUCUUUGUCUGACAUUCCUUUAGUUCAGUAUUUUCCGGGUGAGUGGAAUAAUCUUUAAUAUGCAUAUAUAUAUAUAAAUAAAUAUGUAUGUUGAUUAUACAAUGAGUACAACUAGUAAAUUUCUUGAAUAUUUAUAUAUGUUGCUUUAUUUUCCGAGUACUCAUUUAUUCUUGAAUUUGCACUCGCAAUCUGUUAAAGUAAAUUCUAUUUGAUAUGAUAUACGUUUCUUUGAUGAUUAUGUGAAUAUCUGUUAUGCCUUGAUAUGGGACUUGUCAGUACUCCAUGCUAACGGAGAAUAGUUAGCCUGUGUGCACAUAGUAUUCUGUUACCUAGCUGGUGAGAGAGGCAUCAGCCUGUGGCGAUUGAUCAUCCCACAGUGGUCACCGACGGGUGUCAGUCACCGACGGGUGUCAUCUGGUCACCUUCGGGUGUCAUCUGGUCACCUUCGGGUGUCAUCUGAUCUCUGACAUGUAAUCCACUACGUUAUGAUAAUAUGUUACGUUAUGAUAAUAUGUUUAGUAAGUAUAUGUAUAUGUAUAUUAAGAUAAAUCAUCUUACAAAUUAUUAAUAUCUGAAAUAUCUGAAAUGUAUAUUAAAUGUUAUUCCCUCACUGAGUUGUUGAACUCACCCUCAUUUUUAAUAUUAUUUCAGGUUCUUAGUUUCUGGACUUUGUUGAGUGUUUCCGUUUCUUCAGUUCUGGUCGGUAUGCCUUGCUUGUUCGCGAGGCUUUCCGUUCAGUUUUGAUAUGAUGUCUUAGACGCUCCACUGUUACCUUGUUUUAAUUACGUUUGGAUUUUGACAAUGUAAAUGUAUUAUGAAUUAUUAUUUUUGUUUUAAUAACUAUCUUUUGGUUUCAUCAGUAUUUGAAUAAUAUAAUAUUUCUGUAUAUUAUGAGCCGCUGCGUAUUUUUGAACAAAUUGUUCUUUUGAUAUGUCCGUUCUGAGGCUUAGCGUAGGUGAGGUGUCCUUUCAACACCGCUCCUACGUUGCCGGUCACGGAUCCGGGAUUCGGGUCGUGACAAAACACUUAUGAAUGGUAGGUGUGCCUAUAUUUGUAGAAAUUCAUAUAAUCUAGUAGUAGAAACUCAUCGUUUAAACACUUGUCUGUUUAAUAAUCUUUUCAAGACUCAACUAUGUUACUAGAUUCAUUUGCUAAAUUGUGAAUUAUAUCAAGUUCAAGUUUCCCUCGUCAGAUUUUGAUCCUUAAUCUAUUUUAGAAGUUCAAUCAGGACCAUGUUAUUCAUAGAAUUACCGGUAAGGUACGUAGCCUAUAUUUGUGAGAAGUCUUCGUAAUACCCAUUUUAUUAUGGUUUAUGUUGUACGUGUGCAGUGUCGCGACGAUCAUACUCUCUCAAGUAUAUGUAUCUAUCUAGUAAAUGUGGGGAGACAAUAAAUUCUUGUUUUUUAUCUAUGAAAAGCGGGAAUGAGAGUCGUCACUUAAUAUUUUGAUCACUAGAAACACUAACUGGUUUCAGAGAUCGGGCACGAGAACUGGUUGCAUAAAUGGAAUGUAUUAGCACCCAAAUAUACCUUACCUAAGAUAAGAUGUAUUGUUUAAUUAUCUGAUAAAAACUAAGGACUUGUCGUGUUUUUUAAUUGUUGGUAUGUCUAUGAUUUAAGAAAAGUCCUUAUGGGUGAGAAGAUCCUUAUCUUAUUAGAUAAAAACUAACCCUUCUAACAUCAAUAAAAGAAUUUAAUUUCCAGAAUAUGUCCUACGUAUAAGGUUGUAACCCCAGAUACUAAAAGGAAAAAAAUAAGUUUUUUUAGAAUUUUUGAAAUAUUAGCCUAGUUUUCGUUACUUUAAUAAACUAGUUAUUAAAACCAAAAUGCAUGUUAAAACAUAUUUUUAUAAAUUUUUUUUGUAUGAAAAUACGAAAUGAUUAUUUUUGUAGAGACUUGGCUUUAUGCAAGAAAAUAAGAUUUUUUCUUUUAAUUUUUUUUUUAAUAUUUUUGAGAAAACUAGGUAUUUUAAUACCAGAUUUAUAUUGUUACAGUAUAAAAAUACAAAUCAAUAUUACAUAAAAUUGAUAGAAAAAUGCAUGGGAUAAUUAUGUAUUGAACCAAUUAGAAAAAUCAAGUUGACAGAUGUUGUCUUCAAAUCACCGGGGUGUUGCUUAUCAGAAACUUCAACGCUUUAAUACAGACUGGCAUGGCUACUCAAGUCUGCACCGUGUGGAGCCUAAUCAGUAUAGUUAAAAGACUGCGAUUCUAAUAUUUUGAUAAAACUGAACCACCACACUAAAAUCAGUAAUAAAAUCAGUAAAAUCUCAUCACCAAACACCUUCACCUUUUCCAUUUCUCAUCUCAUAUUGCUCUUUCUUCUCAAUAUUAACUUACCAUUUCUUGCUCACCUCCCCGCUUUUAGUUUCCGUGCACCUUUUCUACUUCUCAACAUCCAAUUCCUUUGCCUUCGAAACAAGCUAUGGCGGACGCAGUUGUUUCUGCUGUAGCGGGUGCAAUCUUGGAGAACUUGAGGUUGCUGUUCUCAAAGAGGUUGGGCUUGCUCGAGGCCUAGACACCGAGCUUGAGAAUCUCGAAAGCACCUUCGCAAUGGUUCAAGCUGUGCUCCAGGAUGCGGAGGAGAAGCAAUGGAAGAACAAGGCUUUAGCGAUUUGGCUAAGACGCAUCAAGGAUGCAGCUUAUGAGGUUGAUGAUGUACUGGAUGAGUUUUCAAUUGAAGCUCAAAGGCAUCGGCUGCAAAGAGAUCCCAGAAACCGACUGAGAUCCUUCUUUACUCUCGGUCAUGGCCCCCAUCUUUUUCGAUUGAAAAUGGAGCACAAGUUGAAAAAUGUGAGAGAAAAAUUGGAUGCCAUCGCCAAUAAGAAAAACAUGUUUGAUUUAACACCAAGAACUGUAGACAUAGCAGCUGAUGCCUAUGAUUGGCGGCUUACCAACUCACUCGUGAAUGAGUCAGAAAUUUGCGGAAGACGGAAGGAGAAAGAGGAAAUCAUCAUGGGAUUCUUCUUGGUAUAUUUUCCUCGCCACUUGGGAUUUUAGACUCUAAUGUAGCUGAACUAAAAACGGUUGUCAAAACUAUUGAAUUAUCAACUUCUAACUAUCAUCUACAUCAUAAACACAUUAUUGUUGAAUUUGACUCGACCAAUGUCAUUAGCUGGAUGAAUAACCCUCAUAAUAGACCUUGGCUGCAUCAUAAUCUUUUCUCCUCUAUUCAGAGAGUAGCUUCAUGUUUUGGUUCACUCACAUUCACUCAUUCUCUUCGUGAGAGUAAUCAUAUGGCAGAUCACAUGGCAAAAAAGGGGUUGUUUAGAAACUCUGAAUGGGUCGCUUGGCUCUAAUCUGCUUGAUAUUUAGGCCUUUCUUUUUCUUUAAAUUCUGGUUGCGGAUGCUAAGGAAACUUGAUUGUUUCCCAGAUUACUCUAUUUCUAGAAAGGAGAAGAAUCAUCAAACUAUAUAGAAGCAAUUCCAGCUGGUCAGAUCUUGGUUUCAGAUUCUGAUGUUGUAAGUCUAGGGGCUUCUGUUGAUGAGCUUCCUUUUGCCUGCUAUGGUUUUCCCUGUGUUAAUGCGUCGAGUGUCUUGGUUCUUUUAUUGUUAAGUUGUCAAAGGCUGUUCUGUGAAGAGUCCAUGGCUCGUCUUUUGUUUCGGAUAAGAAGAUGCAAGAUGGAAAGAUUUUGUUUUACUACUAAUCUGGAUAUUGGUAGAAGUCUGUUUGGUUUCUUAUCCUGGUGUGGCUCCAAAUCUGCUUCUUUCAGCUGCUUCUUUGAUUCCUUGGCUUCAAAUAUAUAUAUUGUAGCCGCUAUUUGUUCUUUUCAUUUCUUGGUAUGUUAUUCAUUUCAUUGCAUAGUUCUGUUUAGGUGUCCUGUAAACAGAAUCUCUAUGUUCCCGUCAUCUAUUGGCGUCUUCUUAUGCAAUAUUAUGCUUCUCAAAAAAAGAAAGAGGAACAACUCAAAAUCCUGCUCACUAAUGACGACGAUCUCCCUAUUUAUGCUAUAUAGGGAAUGGGGGGACUCGGGAAAACGACACUUGCUCAAUUGGUCUCCAACGAAGAAAAGUUUAAACAACAAUUCGGUUUGAGGAUCUGGGUGUGUGUGUCUACUGAUUUUGACUUGAGAAGAUUAACAAGAGCCAUCAUGAAGCCCAUUGACGGUGCCUCUUGUGAUCUUCAAGAAUUGGUUCCCCUGCUACAACGCCUUCAACAAAAGUUAACUGGAAAAAAGUUUUGCUUGUACUGGAUGAUGUGUGGAAAGAUUAUACUGAUAGGUGGAGUAAAUUGAAGGAGGUACUAAGGUGCGGAGCUAAAGGUAGUGCUGUAACAGUAACUACGCGUAAUGAGAUGGUUGCUCGUAGAAUGGCAGCAACUUUUGUCCAGCCCAUGAGGAGGUUGUCUGAAGAAGAUUCUUUGCAUUUGUUUCAACAGCUUGCAUUCGGGAUGAGAAGGAAAGAGGAGUGGGUGCGCCUGGAAGCCAUUGGAGUAUCAAUAGUGAAGAAGUGUGGAGGAGUUUCUUUAGCUAUAAAGGCACUCGGGAACCUAAUGCGGCUAAAAGAAAGUGAAGAUUUGGGAUCUAAGAGAAGAAGCAAGCGAGAUUUUACAUGGAGAAAGAACAAAAUAUUAGAUUCUUUCCAAAACCUUCAGGUAUAUAGAACCAAAACUACCAUCUCUGUUAUUUUCUUUUCAACAUCUUCAAUAAAAAACCGCAGGCAAUGGAUGAGGUUGCUAGGAAGCAACGUUUGGUUCUUAUUACAUAGUCUGGGAAAAGUCAUAGUGCACCAAGUGAAACCUAAAAAUCACACAUCCUCAUGAAAUGUUUCAAUGUGCCACAUCAGGUGAAUUCUUAAAUUUACACAAUCACCUUUAGUUAGUCUAACAGCUUUGUCUUUCUUCUCAUGUAACUUAGAAAAAUAUUUCCAAAAAACUGCCCUCAAUCUAUCGGACAAACAUCAAGUCAUCUUAUAUGCAGGGACUCUAUUCAAGAAGUUUGUAUAUGAAGCCAACACACAUCAGGUGAGUUCUUGCAUUUACACAAGUUAAUUCUUGAUUAAUUAGUUUAACAGCUUUUUCUUUCUUUCUCAUGUACCAUGGGGAAAUAUUUCUGAAACAUUACCCUCAAUUUAUAGUCAACAAACAUCAAGUCAUCUUAAUUUAUAAUUAACAAACUAUAUCCAAGAAGUAUGUAUAUAUAUAAGUCACAUAAAAUCAAUUUAAAAAAUAAAAUAUUUUUAAAACACAAAAACAAAUUGAGUUUUAAUCUUUUUACAUUAACUUCUAAUUCUCUUUUUCUGUUUUUCUUUGUUCAACAUCUGAGAAAUUAUAAAUUAUAUUAUGUUCAAGUUUUUCUGGUCAGAUUAUGUUCCUUAAACUAUGUUUAAAAGUUCAUUAAUGGUAUAAUGUUGCUAAUGAAAGUACAGUUGAAGUGGUACAUUUUCAUAAGAAGUCCUCGUAAAAGCACCCAUUUUAUUGAUAGUUUGAAACUAAAUCCAUUUCAUCAUCUUUUGCAAUUUCUUGCAAAAGGAAACUUGGUGUAUUUCGAUGAAAAUAUAUUUGAUCUUUCCCACAAUGAAAGUGGAUGACUUGCUUGUUUCUUAUAGAAUAUGCAUCUGUAUAUAAAUAAAAACAUAUUAAUCUAAAAACAUAAGUGGUUAUGUGAAGUUUUAAUAUGUGAUUUAUAUUAUAUUUUAGAAUAUAUUUUGUGUGAUUAAUUAAUUUUAAUUAGAAUAAAAAAUGAGAAUAUUACUCACAAUUGUUUUAACAUCAAAGCUUUAAUAAGAUAUUAAAUAACUAUAUAAAAAAAAUAUAAACCAUUAAAUAAUACUUUAAAAUAUUAUUUAUAUUAUUUUUAACGCUUUUCAGCCAAGAUCAAAACCUCGCAAUAGGAACUGGUUUUAGUAGGCCACACAUUACCCCUCUAACAAACUAGAUGUUUUUCCUAAUUUGCCACCCAAACUAAAAUUCCUAAAGUUCAACCCUGAUCAUUCACUGACUGGUUGCUCACCGUCGGAUUUCCAACCUGAAAUGCAGAACCACUGCAAUAAUGUUGAAUAUGUCCCUGAAAAGCUAAACUUAUUGUAUUUCCAUGGAAAUAUAUUUUGAUCUUUCCCACAAUGAAAGCAAGUAAUAUAUAUAUAUAUAAAAUUUAAAAUUGUUAUGUAAAAUUUUAAAAUGUGAUUUAUAUUAUUUUUUAAUAUAUAUUUUAUGUGAUUAAUUAAUUUUAAUAAAAAUAAAAAUAAAAAUAAUAAGAUUUGAAUUCGUGAUUGUUUAAGCAUCAAAGCUUUAAUAUAAUAUUGAAUAACUAUUUAAAUAAAAUAAUUUAGACCAUUAAAUAAUUUUUUAAAAUAUUAUUUAUAUUAUUUUUUAAUAUUUUUCAGCCACACGUAUCAAAAGCUCGCAAUGGGAACUGAUUUCAGUGUGCCACACAUUACCUAUCCAUGUUCUAAAGGUUCUAGCUGCAAGUUUCAUGCUUUGCCCUGUUUUAAUGAGGAUAUAUUCUGAAUUUCAUUUUAGAAAAGCUUUAUUUUAUUAUUUUUUAUUUAAGAAAAGGUUAUGAUGUAAAACGUGAUGGAACUUCUAUUGGAUAAAAAAUAAUGUGAAAAAACUUCAUCCCUGAUAGUAGACAUCUCUCAUUUGAGUCACACAUUCAUACAUAUCAAUUUUUAUUUAAUAAAACUUUGUUAUUUUGGACAAGAUUUCUGUUAAAAAAAGAGAGUAUAUUUUGGAUAGUAAACCCGAUUAAAGAAUGCUGGGCACUUUAGUAACCUAAUUGAAAAUGAUAUUUAGUUUCAGGAUUUUAAAAGUGUUUAAAAUUAUGAUAAAGGAUUCUUUUCAAAAUAUUUUUUUAUUUGAAAAUAUAUUAAAAUAAUAUUUUUUAUAUUAACAAAUCAAAAUAAUAAAAAAAAUACUAAAAAUAUUCAAUUGAAGCUUUUAAAAUAAAUUUUAAAAUUUUAAAAAGUGUUGUUCAUCAAUUGAUAGGUGGCGAACUAAUUAAAGUUAAGGAAAUUCAAGUUCCGAAUCCUCAACUAACUCCAUUUUCUACCUUUUAAAAUUGCUCGGCCCAGCCCAGCCCAACUAUCACCAACACCAUGUAACUAACUUAAUUUCGCGCCAAUCCUCAACAUCAACGGCCCCCCUGGUCUCAGUUCCCGCCGUCCAGUUCUCCACACCAAAUCUGUCCAAGGUCACUCGUUGUUCCCCUCAAUCUCUCAUGCACAUUCAUAUGCAUCGAUGGAAUUAGGGUUUAGGUCGCUGUAAUAGUUUAGUUUUCAGGCUGAAAUGUAACAAAGACCGAUUUGAUUUCACUUUCAUGUAUUAGAAACUCAUUUGACUUGUUCAAGAAAUCGGAUUUGAGGUGGGUUUUAUACAAUUUUCCGAGAUUAACUUCUUCUUUUUUGUGUGUUUCUGGUUUGUUAAUUGUGGUUGUUGAUGGAAGUAAUUGGUAAUGUAGUUUAUGUAGUUGUAGAAAGUCUCCAGUCAACACGUUCAUUGAUUGUUUCAAACUUGAGCAAAUCAUAUCCAUUGCUGACUGUUUGAUGGUUAAUCACUAGUCUUGUUUAACAAUUUUUUCAAGGAUCUUUAAAUAAUCUCUCACUCUCUGCCUGUCUCUCAACUUUUGGAUGUUGCAUUAUUACUUUGGGUUUUUCUUUUGAUGGUACAACAAUUAACAAAGAGAUAUUUGAAACCACAAUCCAACAAUGAACAAAGAAAUAUUUCAAAAUCGCAACACAGUUUUGAUCAGAUUUUUUUUUUUAAUUAACGUGGGUAUCCGAGCUACUUUGCAGGCACCUCGACUAACUUCACGGGCCCUGAAGUUAACGACCAUGUAAGUUUCCAGUAGCCAUCAUAUAAGCAAUCACAGUACUCGAACUAGAAACCACAGUGAAAAUAAAUUUUUUAGUUACAAGCUCUUAUUACUAGACCACUUUGUUUUGAUUAGAUCUUUUGCGAUCUUUGGAUAUGAAAUCUUAUCUUUUCUUCAAUCUUUAGGGAGUAUACAAAAGCAACCCCACAAUCUUAUAUUUUCUUCCAUCUUUUAUAUCUUUUCUUCAAUCUUUAGGGAGUAUACAAAAGCAACCCACAAUCUUAUAUUUUCUUCCAUCUUUUAUGUCCAUUCAUCUAAUUUGAGCCAAUCUUCUCUGGCGUGUGAUUCCCGAUUUGUCAAGUCUACAACGUGUGAAGCCCACGCGGAUUGGCCAGUGCGGGACAAAGACAUAUACCGGGCAAAUUCAAGUUGAUGAAUGUUUGUCUUCAAAUCACAGCCAUGUUCCUUCUCUGAAACUUCAAUUGCUUUAAUAGAGGCAUAGUUAGUCAAGUCUGCACUGUGUAGAGCCCAAUCAAUAUAUAGUUAUAGAACUGCAGUUUUCAUAUUUUAAUAUAAUUAAAACCACCACAUUAAUUACAAUUAAAUUGCCAAAAAAAAAAAAAAGCUAGCAGUAAAACACUUUGAUGCAAGAAACAUUCUACUAUUCAAUAUAACAGUAUAAUUACACUUUUAUUAUUCUAAAAAAAACUAGCAAAGUUUCUUCUAAUCGGGGUAAAAUCAACUUUUCUACUGAUCAAUUAUGCAUUACAACAUUGAAUGGUAACAAAUUAGUCCAUACACUUUUCUUUUCAUGGUGAAAUGAGUUUAUUGUUGAGUUUCUUCAAAAAUAUAAACGCAAUAAAAAUAGUAAAACAAAAUUAUUUUGAAGUCCUUAAGAUCCCGUUAGAUAAAUCUAGAAUUGUUUUAAAAUUUAUUGCCUAAACAUUUAAUUGUCUAGUAUCCAACGAUAAUUUACAUGAACCACUAGUGAUAAAUCUUCUAAAUCUCUAAUUAGAAGAGAGAGAAAUUGUUAUGCUUAGAGUAUUAGCUCUAAUUUUAUGUUUACAUAGUUUUUUAAUCUAAUUGACAAUCUCAUAAAAAAUAAAAAGGCAUAACUUCCUAUUUAUAGAGAAAUAUAAAAAAAUCCAUAUAAAUUAGUAAAAUAUCAAUUUGUCCCCUGAAUAAUAUCCAUAUAGUAAUUAAAAAAAUUAGAAAUUAACUCAAUCAAGCACUUAUUUGAUUUUUCUAGAUCUAGAAAUAUAAUCCUUGUAUUAAUUAUAUUCUAGUUGUUAACUUCUAAAAUAUAUUUUAAUCAAGUCAUACAAAAUGUGUAGGUGAGGUGCGUGCUCACAAUAAAUGUGUGGUGGGCUUCGAUGAGCUUUUUUUUUUUUUUUUUCCUCUCUCUUUUCUUUAUCUUAGCUUAGAAAUUCAUGCCAGUCCUUCCAAAAAUUGAUUGUGUCCUCUAGUUUCUAUUUCUAUCUAUUUUAGUUCUCAUUUAUUUUGAUUGCUCUUUUUUUUUUUUGGUGUUUUACCCUUUUCUUGAUUUGUUUUUUUUUUUUCCUUCAUCAUUUUAUUUCCGUUAAUUGUUUUUAUUCAAGUUUGAUCCUCAUUCUUUUGAUUUCUUUCUUUUUAUUACUUUCUUGAUUUAUUUUUUUUUAUUAUUUUUAACACUCAACAUUUUGUUUCAUUUAAUUUCUUUAUUAAAUAAUAGUUCUCAUUAUUUUUAUUGCUAUUUUUUUAAUUUGUUUCCUUAAUUUAUUUUAUUUUUCAAUUUAAUUCCUAAUUAAUUUUUCAUUUGGUUUUUAUAUCAUAUUUGAUCCUUAUUAUUUAGAUUACUAUUUAAAAAAAAAAACCUUAUGAUUGGAAAUAUUACCUCGUUAGUUUUUUUUUUGUGUGUUUACCUUUCCGCACAUAAUCAUAUUCUCAUGAUUUGGAUUUUGAAUAUUAGCCCAAUUUAAGUUAGGUUUUUUUUUUUUGUCAUUUACUAAUUUUGUUUUUCAAUUUUAUCAUUUGAGACUGGGUUAUUGGAGUUUGAGCUUUGUUAUUUAUUCAACUUUUAUUAUUUUGAGUUUAUCUCGACUUUAUAUCUUAGAUGAAAGAUUAAUCGAGUUAACCCGAGUUUAUUAAUAUUUUUUUAUUAAAUUGCUUUUAAAAAAUUAAUUUUUUUAUUAUUAUUGAUUUGAGCUUUGUGAGUCUAUCUCGAUCAUGCUAUUGGUUGCAAAAUUUCUUUGUGGAGAGCCACCUAAAGGACGUUCUUGACUUUGAUCCCACAAUCUUAUAUUUUCUUCCAUCUUUUAUGUCCAUUCAUCUAAUUUGAGCCAAUCUUCUCUGGCGUGUGAUUCCCGAUUUGUCAAGUCUACAACGUGUGAAGCCCACGCGGAUUGGCCAGUGCGGGACAAAGACAUAUACCGGGCAAAUUCAAGUUGAUGAAUGUUUGUCUUCAAAUCACAGCCAUGUUCCUUCUCUGAAACUUCAAUUGCUUUAAUAGAGGCAUAGCUAGUCAAGUCUGCACUGUGUAGAGCCCAAUCAAUAUAUAGUUAUAGGACUGCAGUCUUCAUAUUUUAAUAUAAUUAAAACCACCACAUUAAUUACAAUUAAAUUACCAAAAGAAAAAAAAAUAAAAGCUAGCAGUAAAACACUUUGAUGCAAGAAACAUUUUACUAUUCUUUAUAACAGUAUAAUUACACUUUUAUUAUUCUAAAAAAAACUAACAAAGUUUCUUCUAAUAGGGGUAAAAUCAACUUUUCAACCGAUCAAUUAUGCAUUACAAAAUUGAUUGCUAAGAAAUGAGUCCAUACACUUUUUUUUUAUGGUGAAAUGAAUUUUGUUGAGUUUUUUUGAAUAAUAUACACGCAAUAGAAACAGUAAAAUAAAAUCAUUCGGGAGUUCCUGUAAUCCCAUUAAACAAAUCUAGAGUUAUUUAGGGAUUUAUUACCUAAAUAUAUGAUCUUCUUUGGCUUUGAAUAAUUCUUUAAAGAUUGAGUUAUUACAAAUCACAAACCAUCUAAUUGUCCUACAUCCAUUAGUAAUCCACACGAACCACCAAUAUAAAAUCUCUUAAAUUCAUAAUUAAGAGAGGGGGAUUGUUAUGUCUAGAAAGUUGACUCUAAUUUUGUGUUUAUGUUGUUUUUCUGUUUAAUUGACAAUCUUAUAAAAAAUAAGAGGCAUAACUAACUAUUUAUAAGAAAAUCUGAAAAAACCUUAUAAAUUAAAAAAAAUAUCAAUUUACCCCUUUAAUAAUAUCCAUAUAUUAAUUCAAGAUAAUUUUAGAAAUUAACUCAUCAAGUACUUCCUUGAUUUUUCUUAGUCUAGAAAUAUAAUCCUUGUAUUAAUUAUAUUCUAGUCAUUAGUUUCUAAAAUAUAUUUUAAUCAAGUCAUACUUAAUUAAAUAAUCCUAGUUUAAUUUCUACCUGAAGGUUUUUAAUGUGCGUCACCUAUUAAGUUUUUAAUAUGUUGGUCCAAAUAUAAAUUAUAAUUAUAAUUAAAUAAAUUAAAUAAUUUAAUUUAUUAUUAAUUCAACAAUUGAUUAAUUUAUAUUUGAAGACAAGGUGCAACAUCUAUUAUUGUGUCAUGAUUUUCUAAAUAUUAGAAAAGUCAUCAGUGGUUUGACUUAACCUUCUAGUGACAUGUUUCUCAGUAUAAUUGGUAUCCUUUCAUCAAUAAUGUUUUGAUUUAACAUUAAAGUAUGGAGUAUGUCUGCUAUGUUAAAUCAUGUUUAUUAUCUACAUAAUAGUCAUUUAUCAUUUAAAUAAGAUUUAGAACUUUUUUCAAAUCUCAUUCCACCUUAAUGAAGAAUUUCUCUAUAUUUACUAUUUGAGAACAGAUAAAACAUUUUUUUAAAUUCACUUAGGCUGAUGAAUCCUUUCUUUAUCACCCAAUUAUUAUUUAUUUUUUUUAAGAAUAGUGAAGUGACAAAAUUGCCUUUAAUAUAUAUAUAUAUAUAUAUAUAUAUAUAUAUAUAUAUAUAUAUUGCUCUAAGGGGGUUUUUGUAUUUUUAUUUUUUUUUAUUUUUAGGUUGACCAGGAGGCUGUUUAGUAAUUUUAAAAAAUAAAUAUUAUAAAAAAAUUAUUGACAUAUGCAACUCACGUGUCAGCACAUACAAUGCCAUUAGGUGACCAAAAUCAGCCAUCUGCAAUGAUGUUUUGAGUAGCGCAUUAUCCUCUUUGCAUUGGUGAGGUGCAUGUUAACAUUAGAGAUACAGUUAGGCUCCAAUAAGCUUUUUUUUUUUUUUUUCCUCUCUCUUUUCUUUCUCUUAGCUUAGAAAUUCAUGUCAGUCCUUCCAAAUAUUAAUCGUGUCCUCUAGUUUCUAUUUCUAUCAAUUUUAAUUUUAAUUUUUUUAUUAUUUGUUUUGAUUUUAAUACCUUUUGAAGUUUUUUUAAAAACAAAAUUCAUACCUAGACAUUUUGUUUCAUUUAGUUUUUGUAUCCAAUUUUAUCCUCAUUCUUUUGAUAGCCUUUUUUAUUUUUUUGUGUUUUACCCUUUUCUUGUUUUUUAUUUUUUAUUUUUUCCCUCAUCAUUUUAUUUCCUUUAAUUUUUUUUUAUUCAAGUUUGAUCCUCAUUCUUAUUAUUUUGAUUUAUUUAUUUUUAUUAUUAUUUUUAACCCUCCACAUUUUAUUUCUUUUUAUUUCUUCAUCCAAAAAUGGUUCUCAUUAUUUUUAUUACUAUUUUUUAAUCUUUCUUCUUAAUCUAUUUUAAUUUUUAAUUUAAUCCCUAAUUAUUUUUUUAUUUGGUUUUUUUACCAUAUUUGAUUAUUAUUAUUUUGAUCAGUUUUUUUUUUGUUUACCUUUUUGCACGGUAAUCAUAUUCUUAUGAUCUAGAUCAUUAGUUUCAAAUAUUAGCCUAUAUUUGAUCCUUAUUUUUUUUAAUUUAUGUUUUUUUAUCAUUUUAAUUUUAUCAUUUGACAUUAGAUUAUAGGGCUUUGAGCUUUGUUAUGUUUUUUUUUCACUUUCUUUUUCUCAAGGUUAUCUCGAUCUCAUAUCUUAUGUCACGUGUCGCACCCUAAAAAAAAUCCAAUUGCGGGUUCGACUGGCGACUUUUCAUUUUGGUUUUUGCUGAUUUGGUUCUUUAGAGCCGUCACCUAGUAUUUUGGUCAUUAGGAACCCUAACUGGUCUUUUAAAGAUUCUAAGGUAAGGGACUGAUUGCGUAAAGGGAAGGUAUUAGCACUCCUAGUACGCCCUACCUAAGGUAAGCUGCUUGAUGUUUGGUUUGCUCUUAUAAUCUAUGGUGUUGGUGUUUUUUAGUCUCGUCAAUUGAUUUUGGAUAGAAAUAUAAGGAGAUUCCAUGUGCUUUGAAAGCUCAUUUUUCCCUUAGUAUUUCAAAAGUUUGCGACUCGUAAAUCGUGGAGUAAAAAAAAUUAAAUUUUGAAAUGUCCCCGAUUAUAAUCAAGGCUUCUUUCAAGAAUGUGUGCAGAUUUAUUACUCCUAAUAAUAUUUUGGAUAUUUAUCCUUUUAAGGAUUUCUUUAUCCAAACAUUAGCUGUAAAUAAUAAAUGAAUUUCCUCCCUAAAAAUAAGAUUUUUAUAGUUUUUGGAAUAUUGGCCAAUACCCUUUGGAGUUUUACAAACAUGUUGUAAAAUCCAGAAAUGCAAGAAAAUAAUUUGUGUUUAAGAAAUCAAUGCGAAAACACAUUUUCAAAGCUUCCAAUAUAUUUUUUUUUGUAAAAAGAACAUUCAAAACAUGUUAGAGUAUUGGCCGUAUGAAACACGCAAGAAAACUUUUUUUUUUUUUUUUGACAAAAACGGGGUAUUUUAAACACUGAAUUUGUAUCUCCACGGUAUAAAAAUACAAACCAAUGUAAAAAAAAUCAUAAAAAAAAUAUGCAAGAAAAAUCAACAAUAUUUUUAAGGAAAUUUUUUAGAAUUUUUGAAAGCAAACAGACAUUUUUUUUUCUUUGAAAAUCUGGAUGUCUUGACGAAAACCGGGUAUUUUAAACACUGAAUUUGUAUCUCCACAGUAUAAAAAUACAAACCAAUGUAUAUAAAAAAUAUAUAUAUGAAAAGAAAACAACAAUAUUUUUUAGACUUUUCGGAUUUUUUUUAUUUUUAUUUUUUUUAAAAAAAAUAAUAUAUAUAUAUAUAUAUAUACACACACACACACAUGCAUAGUAUAAUAUAAUAUAAUUAAAUAAAUAUAUUAAUAUAUUAAGUGGGCUGGGCCGGCCCAACUAACUUGGCCGGAUCCAGCCCCAAAAGUCGUUGGGCCGAACUCGGCCCAAAAAGGAUUGGCCCGAUCUCGGCCCAACGAACUAAUUAACCUCGGUCUGGGCCGGACCCAACCCAAACCGCCAGAUUGGGCCAGAAUCCCUCUGGCCCGUCCCGCAUAGUUUUGGGCCAGACACCAUCUGGCCCAGAGAAGGGAAAAGAGAGAGCACGGGGGGGGGGAAUUAUUUCCCCCCCCGCCUCUUGCAUGCAGAACGACUCUACAUGCAGGAGGCAAAACUGAUGCAGGUUUCGAAAAAAAAUACAGGGGGGAAAGGAAGCGUACCUGGGGCGGCGGAGACGGUGGCUGGCUGGCGGUGCUGCGGUGGAGGCGGUGGCAGCGUCCUAGCUCACGGACGGCGACUCCUCACGGUGAUUUCGAAACAAUCCGGCGACACCCUCUCGCUUCGUUUUCUUCGUUUUUGUUUUCUAAAUUCCCUCCCAACGUUAAACUUUCACUCUUCUCUUGGUUUUUUUGGGGUUUUCGGUGGCUCUCUCUCCUCGGUUGGGUGUUUCUCUCUCUUCCUCUCUCUCUUCAUUUUUUAGUUCUCUUCGGGUUCCUCUCCUUUUUCUUUUUCUUUUUUCGUCCCUGUUUCUCUUAUUAUGUUCUCUAUUUAUAGAGCCAGGGGGCGUGGCUUCACCGUGGAGCCAAGGAGCGGCUGUCCAGGCGGACCUCCCUCGGUUUCGGCAGCGCGGCGGGUGGUCGACCAGUGUCUUCUGUCGGUGGUCCACCGGCGUGGGGCCUUGGUUGGUCGAGGGACCUACAAAAAAAUGUAAACAAUGCAAACUUUUCCUUCUUCCCCGCUGUAUGUUCAGGGGAAGAAGAAAGGUGAACAGUGCCGUUCAAAACGGCAAAGUUCGGUCUUCUCUUUUUUUUUUUUUUUAUGUAUGAAACGGCGUCGUUUUGGAGAAAACGCGCCGUUUCAUUUAAAAAAAAGGCGCCAGAACGUUUGUUUUUGAAUCAGUCCUUAAUCAUCUUUGUUCAAUUCAAUUUCGUCCCUGCCAAUUUCGGUCCGUCCCCAUAGUUGGCCGCGUUUUCCACUUUGGUCCUUGGCCUCUGAUUUAUGCAAUUUAGCCCUCAAUUGAUCAAUAAACUUCUAAUUUCUUCAAUUAAGCCCCCUGAAUCAAUUCCAAACAGCCCCCUCUAUCUUUGCGCCUUUUCCAAAUUGGUCCCUGGUUUCGGAUUUUCACAAUCAAGUCCCUAAUUGGCCAUUAAACUUCAAUAUUUAUGCAAUUAAGCCCCUGAUUUGACCCAAUAAAUUCCUAAAAAUUAUAAUAUGGCCCCAGAACUUUAAUUUCUUCUAAUUAAAACUCAAAUUGACUUAAAAAUCAAUUUUUCUUGCAAUCAAAUCCCCUAUAAAUUCAAAUAAAAAUCCAAUUAAGUCCAUAAACAUCCAAAUUUGGGCUUUUCUCCUCAAAAUUCAAAUUUUCCUUCUCAAUAGGGCUCUCAUCCUUCAAGAAUAUAUUGUCAAAAAAUCCGCCUUUGCCUUUUUAAAUUCCUUGACCAAUUUUGUGACCAUUUCUGAGCGCUUCUGCCUCCUAUUAUUUUUUCUAACCUCUUUUGGCUAUUUAUUUUAUUUUUUAUGGGGACUCAAAAAUGGGUUACAAUAGAUGCCCCCUCUUUAUAAUACUUACGGAGCAGGGGUUUUGCGCAGUAAGUGUUAUAAAGAUAAACUCAAAACAGAACUCCCGAAACUGAUCUGGUCGAAGCUUGAUUGAUCUGAAACUUUGUUUUUUACAACAAUCCUCCUUAGCCCAAAAACUAUGAUCAAAACUUAGCCAUCUCGAGAUCCUUAUCCGGCGAUCCUCUGAAUAUCGAAAUACGAGAUCCCUUCUGGCGAUCUCCUUUUAACUUGGAAUCCCAUCUGGCGAUUCCUUUACCCAUAACCAAUACAAAAAUGCGUGUGUGGUCUCAUUAUGAUGGGUGACCAGCUCGAGUGGGAAAUGGAAAGAGUGGUCUCAUUCUAUUGGGUGACCUACCCAGGGGAAAGAGUGGCCUCAUUAUUAUGGGUGACCUACCCAGGUAAAAAAAAAAUGGAGAAUGGUCUCAUUCUUAUGGGUGACCUACCCAGGAGAAAAAAAAAAUAAUGGUCUCAUUGUGAUGGGUGACCUACCCAAGGAAAAAAAAAGGAAGAGUGGUCUCAUAUUUUGGGUGACUUACCCAGGGGAAGAAUGGCCUCAUUCUUAUGGGUGACCUACCCAGGUAAAAAAAAAAUGGAGAAUGGUCUCAUUCUUAUGGGUGACCUACCCAGAAAAAAUUAUGGUCUCAUUCUUAUGGGUGACCUACCCAGAAAAAUAAUGGUCUUAUUGUGAUGGGUGACCUACCCAAGGAAAAAUAAUGGUCUUAUUGUGAUGGGUGACCUACCCAGGAAAAGGAAGAGUGGUCUCAUUCUUAUGGGUGACCUACCCAAAAAAAAUAGAAGUGUUGGUCUCAUUGUAAUGGGUGACCUACCCAGAAAAAUGUUGAGGCUCAAAGGCACACUCGAAAGAGGUAGGGUUUAGAAAACGCACUACCCGAGAAGUGAGGGCUCAAACGCGCACUCGAAAAGAGGUAGGGUUAGAAAACGCACUACCAAAAGUGAGGGCUCAAAGCGCACUCGAAAAGAGGUAGGGUUAGAAAACGCACUACCCAAAAAGUGAGGGCUCAAAGCGCACUCGAAAAGAGGUAGGGUUAGAAAACGCACUACCUGAGAAAUGGUGAUGAAAUCCCGAUCUGACAAAUGUUGAAAGCAAUAUUAUGGUUAAUAUGCAUGUAUGUUUUUGUUACCUAUCUUGGAAACAUAGGUCCCCCUUUCGUCGUAAACCUCUUCGCUCUUGUUUCAAGCUUUUCUCAUGAACCGAAAUAUCCUUCAUAUCCUUUUAGUGAAGAGAUCUUGGUUCCUUAUGGGGCCCUUUCUUGCUCCAUUGAGUUUUGCCAAAGGAAAAAUUGGUUUUGUUCAUGAAAACUGAAACUUUUAAUGCAAUUAGCAAUUUUAUAAAAGAUGCUUUUUUAGAAGUUUUUAUUAUGAUAUCCCUUUUGGGCUUGGGUUUACUAUGGACCCUUAUGUGCACUUCGUGCACCUUUUGCCCCCUAGUGUGAUGUGCAACUAUAUGUCAAGUAGAUUUGAUUUGGUUCACCAAUUGAUGGAGUCAUCUUCUUAGUCAUGCCAAAAAAAGUUCUUUUGAACAAAAGAUUUCAAAUGCUAUGAGAUCAUAUGUUAUAUAUAUAUAUAUAAAAGGACUCUUUACAAAGAGAAUUCAUGGCCGAAAUUUAUUUUUAUUGACUGGGAAAUUACGAAAUACAUCAAGCGUAGUAUUUCUUUACAGAGUCGGAAUUCACAGGCCUAGCUAGAUCUUCUCCAUCCAUUCUAGACAGUAACAAAGCUCCUCCUGAGAAUGCUUUCCUCACCACGUACGGCCCCUCGUAGUUAGGUGCCCAUUUACUCUGAUCUUCUCCAGGUAAAGGUAAUAUUUUCUUUAGCACAAGAUCUCCUUCGUGGAAUCCUCGAGGUCGAACCUUCUUGUCAUAUGAUUUAGCCAUCCUUCUUUGGUAGAGUUGAUGAUGACAGAUCGCGGCUAUCCUCUUUUCACUGAUCAGAUUCAACUGUUCAUAUCUAACCUUUGCCCAUUCUAACUCUUCCAGCUCAGAGUCUAACAACACUCUCAAUGAUGGGAUUUCCACUUCUAAAGGCAUCACCGCCUCCAUUCCAUAUACCAACAUGUACGGGGUGGCUCCUGUUGAGGUUCGAACUGCGGUGCGAUAUGCAUGAAGGGCAAAUGGCAACAUCUCAUGCCAAUCCUUAUAGGUGACUACCAUCUUCUGAAUAAUCUUUUUGACAUUUUUAUUAGCAGCUUCUACCGCGCCAUUCAUCUUUGGUCUAUAUGGUGAAGAAUUGGAAUGCUUGAUUUUCCAUUUAGUGCAGAGCUCUAUUAUCAUCUUGCCGUUGAAAUUUUGAGCAUUAUCCGUUAUAAUCUUUUCUGGUGGACCAUACCGACAUAUCAAAUCUCUCUCAAUAAAUUUCUUCACUACUUUUUGCGUCACAUGAGCAAAUGACCCGGCUUCUGCCCAUUUUGUGAAGUAGUCGAUAGCCACGAGAAUAAACCUAUGACCAUUGCUGGCUUUUGGGUUUACCGGUCCAAUCACAUCAAUUCCCCAGAUCGCGAAGGACCAUGGAGAUGUUAAAUUAAACAGAGGAGCCGGAGGAGCAUUGAUUUUGUCACUGUAUACUUGGCACUUAUGACAUUUCCGGACAUAAUCGAUACAAUCCUUCUCUAAUGUCAUCCAAAGUACCCGGCUCUUUGUAUCUUCCUGGCCAUCACAUGUCCACUAGCAUGAGUUGAGCAAAUCCCUUCAUGGACUUCCCGUACUGUGCUUUUUGCCUCAAAUUCAUCCAAACAUCUCAACAAAGUCCCGUCAGAUGAUUUCUUAUACAAAAUCUCCCCAUCAAGAUAAAAAUCCAUUGCCAACCUUCUCAAGGUCUUCUUGUCGAUUUUGGAUGCCCCCAUGGGAUAUGCCUGGUUUUGGAUGAAAUUCUUGAUAUCAUAGUACCACGGGUUUCCAUCCACUUCUCUUUCGACUGAGCAACAAUGAGCGGGGUUAUUUCUGAUAUUGAUGUGUACUGGCUGUACCUUGUGCCCAAAGUCUAUCUUGGCCAUAGAUGCUAGUGUGGCCAAAGCAUCUGCAAACUGGUUCCCUUCCCUUCCCAGAUGGGUGAACUCUAUUUCCUCAAAUUCUUUAGCCAGCUUAGACAGGUAUUCUUGGUAAGGCCUUAACUUCUCUUCUUUGGUUUGCCAUUCUCCUUUUACUUGGCAAAUGAUCAGCAUUGAGUCUCCAUACACAUCUAUCUUUUUGAUGUUCAUCUCUAAUGCAGCCUCUAAACCAAGAAUGCAAGCUUCAUACUCAGCCGUGUUGUUGGUGCACCCGAACUGCAGCUUAACUGAAACCGGAUACUGCUUCUUAUCAGGAGAGAUUAUCACUGCCCCCGCUCCGUUACCACAUACAUUUACAGCACCAUCAAAGUACAUAACCCACCAAUCUGAUUUCUCUUCCUCGAUUGCAAACACAUCUUCAUCGGGAAAGUCAAAGUUUAACGGCUCAUAAUCUUCCAUAGCAUGGUCAGCCAGGUGAUCGGCAAUAACACUCCCUUUCACGGCUUUCCUUGUCAUAUACACUAUGUCAUAUUCAGCCAAAAGAACUUGCCAUCUUGCAAUUCGGCUAGAUAGAUAAGGUUUUCACAAAUGUACCUUAAUGGGUCUAACUUGGAAAUUAACCAUGUAGUGUGAUACAACAUAUACUGACGUAAUCUCUUUGUAGCCCAUGCUAGUGCGCAGCACAGCUUCUCAAUCACAGUAUACCUAGACUCAUAUUCCGUGAACUUCUUGCUUAGGUAAUAAAUGGCCCUUUCCUUCCUUCCGGUUUCAUCAUGUUGCCCAAGCACACAUCCCAUUGCUGUUUCGGUUACUGUUAGGUAUAAAAUCAAUGGCCUUUCUGGUACGGGAGGAACAAGCAGAGGUGGAUUUAGCAAGUACUGCUUGAUUUUCUCAAAAGCUUUAUCACACUCUUCAUUCCAUAUUCCAGGGUUCUUCUUCCUCAACAAACGAAAGAUCGGGUCACAAGUCGCGGUUAAAUGGGAUAUAAACCGAGCGAUGUAAUUCAACCUUCCUAAGAAACCUCUCACCUCCUUCUCAGUCUUGGGGGGUGGCAUAGAUUGAAUAGCUUUUACUUUUUCAGGAUCCACUUCUAUCCCUUUGUCACUCACCACAAAUCCCAACAGCUUACCGGAUUUCACCCCGAAUGAACACUUUGCUGGGUUAAGCCUCAACUUAUAUUUCCUUAAUCUUUCAAAUAAUUUCUUCAAUACUUGGACAUGAUUCUCUCCCUCUUUAGAUUUAGCAACCAUGUCAUCCACGUAUACUUCAAUCUCUUUGUGCAUCAUGUCGUGAAACAAAGUCACCAUAGCCCUUUGGUAAGUGGCCCCAGCAUUCUUUAAACCAAAUGGCAUGACUUUGUAGCAAAAGGUUCCCCAUGGUGUUACAAAGGUUGUCUUCUCCCUAUCCUCUGGCGCCAUUCUUAUCUGAUUGUAGCCUGAAAACCCAUCCAUGAAGGAAUAUGUGGAGCUGCGUGCUGCAUUAUCAACUAACAUAUCUAUGUGUGGUAAAGGGAAAUUAUCUUUAGGGCUAGCCCGGUUUAAUCCCUAAAGUCCACGCAAACUCUGAUUUUACCUUCCUUUUUGGGUACCACCACUAUGUUUGACACCCAUUGUGGAUACUUCACUACUUCCAAAAAACCAGCGUCCCAUUGUUUUUCAAUUUCCGCCUUUACUUUGAUUAAGACCUCCGGAUGAGUUCUCCUUAACUUCUGCUUAAUCGGCUUGCAUCCUUCCAUCAGUGGUAUUCUAUGCACUACAAUGUCCGUAUCCAGACCAGGCAUAUCCUCGUAGGACCAGGCAAAGACAUCCACAUAAUCCUUGAGCAGUGCAAUCAACUCUUCCUUUGCUUCAGGGGUGAUCAAAGUCCCUAUCUUCAGCUCUCGCUUGAUUUCUUCAUUGCCUACAUUUAUGGUUUCAAGUUCCUCUUUAGCGGGCCUCCAAGCCUGUUCGUGUUGUUCUAUUAAUUUUGUGAAUUCCCAUAUGUUUUCCUCCUCCCAUUCCUCAUCUUCUACAGCCACUAUGUAUUCUUUAAAUUUUGGCCAUUCAUUCUCAAUGUAAAGUGCAGGUGUUGUUGUGGAGGAUCCGCUUUCAGAGUUCCUGAAAGCGGAAAGUGAUGUGUAAAUGCAUAGUAAGACAUCAAGAUGAAUUUUGAAAAUGCAUGAUCUCAUUAAAAAUAAAAGAUUGGCUCACAACAAAUAAAAUCCAAUUGACAUCUUGAGCCUCGAUUGUCAAUGAAUAAAAACAAAACAGAAAAAAGGCAAACAACAUAGAUAAAAAUAUAAUCCAACCAUCAUUGUUGAUUACAUUUUAAAAACCAAUGGAGCUUCUUGGGUCUCCCAAUUCUGGAACUUCUCCCCUUCGGCUAGCUUCCGGACAAAAGUCUUGACGGUGACUUCUUCCAAAGUGUGGAUGGUCAAUUGUGGCAGCUCUUCAAUCCUCCUUUCGGACUCGAUUUUCUCAGCAAUGUCCUUGACUUGAUUUUCCUCCAGAGUGUUUAUGUUCAUUGAAGAAAGCUUUUGAAAGAGGUCUCCAUGUCCCCCAUCAGGUUGUAUCACAUAUGCGGCCUUUGGAAAUGAAAUCCUGAUUGGAGGGAUGGCUAAGUUUUCUUCUACAGGCUUCCUUCCUUCCAUCCUAGCCAUUCUCUUCUCCCUUCUUGCACCAGCAGCUCGUUUGUAAUCCUCUUUCUUGGGCUUAUAUCCAAGCCCAAACCUCUGUUCUGCAGCUUUCAAUUUGAUUAUACCCCUCCAUUCAGGCCUUCUUUGCUCCAUAUCAUAUGGGAAAGGAAUCUUGUUUUUCAAAAAGAUUUUAGCUGCCAUUUUAGUGGCUUCAGAGAUUUCUGGCUUCCUCAACACAGUGUUCUCGGGCACCCACUCGGUAUUCACAAUCUCAAAUGCAUGAAGGUUUCCGUCCCUACAAUCUUCUGCUUCAAUGAAUGGAACCGCCACAUUUCUUACCAUCGAUAUAGUCUCCUCAGCCUUAACAGUAACCAGGACACCGUUGGCAAUGUACUUUAAACAUUGAUGUAGCGAAGAGGUGACAGCUCCCGCAGAAUGUAUCCAUGGCCUUCCUAACAGCAUGCUAUAAGAAGGGUGGAUAUCCAUCACUUGAAGGGUUACUAGAAAGACUUGUGGACCCACAGCUAGUUCGACCUCAAUUGACCCUAUCACUUGCCUUGAUGAGCCAUCAUAUGCUCUCGCCGUUAUCACACUGGGCUGCAUAUGUGAGGGAUCUAUCGGCAUUUCAUCCAGCAUGUCGCACGUCAAAAUCCGCGCGACAUCUGCCGGCGAUUUUUAUUAUUUGUGUUUUGCUUGGUUCGUUGGAGUCGCCACCUAGUAUUAUGGUCACUAGGAACCUAAGAUCUGCGAGAGUCUGAGUAAGGGACUGGUUGUGCAAGGGGAAGACGCAUCACCCCCAGUGCACCCUACCUAAGGUAAGCUGCAUUGUUGUUUAAUUGUUUUUCUAGGUCGAAUUUCUAUUCGUUGGUCUUUCUAAGGUUCAAGGCAGAUCUCCCCUCAUGAGGAAGUCUCUACCUUAUUCGGUUAAAUCCUAACCAUUCUAAAGUCUUAAUUUAUUUACACCUUGUAUCUUUAAUAUUUGAGGGUGUACUUUAUCAUGUAAUUUUACACCUUUCAAAUAUUAAAGUCUACAUCUAGAUCCUAGAAAAAAAAGAUUGGAAAAAGGUUUUUGAUAUUUUGGCCAAACCCUAAUGGAUAAUCAUAAACUAGUUAUGAUAUCUAUUUUUUGGAUUUUUCAAAACGUGAGAAAGAUGCAAUUUUUCGAAAAAAACAUGCUUGGAAAAUUUUUAGGACUUGGCCGUAUGCAAUAAAAUAUUUUUUUAAAAAAUAUUUCGAAAAAGCCGGGUAUUUUAAUACCGGACUUAUAUCUUACAAUGUAAGUAUACAACCCAAUAUUAAGCAAACUUGGUGGAAAAAUAUUUGAGAAAACCACAAUUUUUAAAUGAUUUUUUUUUAAUAUUUUUUGAAAAUAAAAAAGAAAAACGAAUACAAAACUAAAAGGCAUGAACAGUGAACAGUGACGGCAUGAACAGUGACGCCGAAGAAGAAGAGGAAGGUGAGCGGACCACCUGGCGUGGCGGCGAUGGCUGGCUGGAGGAGGAGGACCUGAAGCUGGUGGUGGAAACGGCGGUGGAGUUAGCUGGAGCGGCUGCAGCUGGAAGAGGAAAAAAAAAGAAGAAAAUCUGCAGCAGGAAAAGGGAGGAAGGCUGGUUUUUUGGCUUACUUUGGACCCGCUUUUCUCCUCCCUCUAAGCACGAAAUUGGCUCCUAUUUAUAGGGAUGGAAAGAGAGUAAUCUUGUCUUCAACAGGGAAAAAGUCUCAGCCCUUGAUUCGACUUGAGGAAUCCAAGCCGUUGGUUCAAAGUGUGCACCUCGAACUGCAAAAAUUGGCAAUCCAAGGCUGCAGACUGCCCGAGGGUGCCACUUUGGGCCAAUAAACGGAGCCGUUUUCGAGUUGUUCGACCCGACCGGACCACUCUACGAGAUAGAGGGAUUGCAGGUGGACAUGGUGGUGCACGCUUUGUCGGAUUUGGGGAACAAACGAGGUAGAAAAUUCGCCUGGAAGUCUGCCACUCGGGCAGCUUUGCGGGGAAGAAGGUGAACAGUAACCAGCCGAUUUGUUUUUUUUUUUUUUUUUUUUCGUUUUUCAAUUUAGUCCGCGUUCUUUCAAAUUAGUUCAAUGGAACCCCUAAUUGACCAUAAACCUUUGAUUUAAUGCAAUUUUGGCCCCUAAUUUCAAUCAAUUCACUUGGUAAAAAUUAAAUUUGGUCUCUUAAAAUUCCAAUCUUCUUAAUUAAGCCUAAAUCAGGCUCCCAAAUUUAAUUUUUCACCAAUUAAGCCCCAAAUAAAAUUAAUUUGACCCACUUAAAGUAUAAUUAAGUCCUUGCACUUAAUUAAAUCCUUCAAUUAGACCUAAAUUAAUUCUUAAACAUAAUUAAAAUUUAAUUUGGCCCAUGAUUAAAUCAAAUUGGCCCAUUAAAAAUUUAAUUAUGUCAUUGGACUUAAUUUUUAUGCAAAUUCGUCCAAUAAUCGUUUAAUUUUACCUUCGAAUUUGCAUUUUUAUAUUCUUGGGCAUAAUAGGGUACAAUUAGGCCUUGAAAUUCCUCUAAAAAUUGCAGCUUUAUUUCCCAGUCUGCUCUCUCCACGUUGCCAGCCUUUAUUUUAUUUUUUGAUUUUUAUUUUGAAGAAAGAAAUUGAUUUUUAGGGAAUAACCCAGAAUUGGGUUAUGACAGUUGCCCCCCUCUUUACAAUGCUUACGGUAGAAGGUCUCUUAAGAGACUUUAGAUAGUAAGCGUUGUAAAGAAGAAAAAAGGAAGAUUUUUUUUUUUUUUUUUUUAAAUGGUCGAAUUGUCAUGGGUGACCUACCCGGGUGAAAAACACGAAGAUGUUUUAAAGAGGUGAAAAAUACAGAGAUUUUUCAAAGAGGUGAAAAAUACCGAGAUUUUUCAAAGUGGUUUUGUUGUAAUGGGCAACCGGCCCAAGAUGGAAAACGAAAAGAGUUUUCAAGGUGGUGAAAAAUACAAAGAUUUUUCAAAGUGGUUUUGUUGUAAUUGGCAACCGGCCCAGAUGAAAGGUUUUGAAAAAUACAAAGAUUUUUUCAAAGAGGUGAAAAAUGCAGAGAUUUUUCAAAGUGGUGAGAAAUGCGAAGAUUUCUCAAAAAUGAUCUUGUUGUGAUGGGCGACUUGCCCAGAUGGAAAGUGAUGAAAAAUGCAAAGAUUUUUCAAAGUGGUGAGAAAUACAAAGAUUUCUCAAAGUGGUGAAAAAUGCAGAGAUUUUUCAAAGUGGUUUUGUUGUAAUGGGCAACUGGCCCGAGAUGAAAGGUUUUGAAAAAUACAAAGAUUUUUUUCAAAGAGGCGAAAAAUGCAGAGAUUUUUCAAAGUGGUGAGAAAUGCAGAGAUUUCUCAAAAAUGGUGAAAAAUUUUGGAGGUGGUGAGAAAUGCAAAGAUUUCUCAAAAUGGUUUUAUUGUUAUGGGCAACCGGCCCGAGUGAAAAAGUUUGAAAGUGGGGAGAAAUGCAAGGAUUUCUUAAAAUGGUGAAAAAUACAUAGAUUUUUCAAAGUGGUGAAAAAUACAAUGAUUUUUUAAAAGUGGUUUUGUUGUAAUGGGCAACCGGCCCAAGAUGGAAAUGUUUUGAAAAAUACAAAGAUUUUUUCAAAGAGGCGAAAAAUGCAGAGAUUUUUCAAAGUGGUGAGAAAUGCGAAGAUUUCUCAAAAUUGUGAAAAAGUUUAGAGGUGGUGAGAAAUGCAAAGAUUUCUCAAAAUGGUUUUAUUGUUAUGGGCAACCGGCCCAAAUGGAAAAAAGUUUGAAAGUGGGGAGAAAUGCAAUGAUUUCUCAAAAAUGGUUUCAUUGUUAUGGGCAACCGGCCCAAAUGGAAAAGGUUUGAAGGUGGGGAGAAAUGCAAUGAUUUCUCAAAAAUGGUUUUAUUGUUAUGGGCAACCGGCCCAAAUGGAAAAAGUUUGAAGGUGGGGAGAAAUGCAAGGAUUUCUCAAAAAUGGUUUAUUGUUAUGGGCAACCGGCCCAAAUGGAAGAUGAAAAGAGUUUAGAAAAAAGUCUGAUUAUAAUGGGUGACCUGCCCGGGAGAAAAGGCAAAAUGUCUGAAAUGGACGACAUGAUAGGACUCGAUGGGGAACGAGGGCUGAAGAGCGUACUCGAAAGGAGAUAGGGUUCGAAAAACACACUAUCUAAGAGGUGAGUGCUCCAAGGCGCACUCUAAAGAAGGCAAAUAGGGCUAGAAAGCACACUACACAAGAGGUGAGGGCUCGAAGGAGCUCUCAAAAGGAGGCAAGGUUGGAAAAUGCACUACCUAAGGGGUAAGGGUUCAAAGGAGCAUUCAAAAGGAGGUAGGGUUGGAAAACUCACUACCUAAAGUGGUGAGGGCUCGAAGGAGCAUACGAAAGGAGGUAAGGUUAGGAAACGCACUACCUAAAGUGGUUGAAGGCUCUAAAACGCACUCAAAAGGGGAGGUAGGGUCAGAAAACACACUACCUAAAGGGGUUGUUAGCUCGAAGGCGCUCUAAAAAAGAGGCAGGGUUGGAAAACGCACUACCUAAAGGGUUGAUGGCCCUAAGGCGCAUACGAAAGGAGGUAAGGUUAGGAAACGCACUACCUAAAGUGGUGAGGGUUCAAAGGAGCAUUCGAAAGGAGGUAAGGUUGGAAAACGCACUACCUAAAGUGGUGAGGGCUCAAAGGAGCAUCCGAAAGGAGGUAAGGUUGGAAAACGCACUACCUAAAGUGGUUGAUGGCCCUAAGGCGCACUUAAAAGGAGAUAGGGUUGGAAAACGCACUACCUAAGAUGUGAGGGCUCCAAGGAGCAACCAAAAGGAGGUAGAGUUAGAAAACACACUACCUAAGGUGGUUAAUGGCCCUAAGGCGCACUUAAAAUGAGGCAAGGUUAGAAAACACACUACCUAAGGUGGUUGAUGGCCCUAAGGCGCACUUAAAAGGAGGUAGGGUUGGAAAACACACUACCUAAGAGGUGAGGGCUCGAAGGAGCUCUCAAAAAGAGGCAGGGUUGGAAAACACACUACCUAAAAGGGUUAGGGCUCGAAGGCACACUAAAAAAGAGGUAGGGUUAGAAAACACACUACCUAAGGGGUGAGGGUUAAAAGACGCUCUCAGAAGGAGGUAGGGUUGAAAAACACACUACCUAAAAGGUUAGGGCUCGAAGGCACACUAAAAAAGAGGUAUGGUGUUAGAAAACACACUACCUAAGGGGUGAGUGCUCCAAGGGGCACUUAAAAAGAGGCAGGGUUGGAAAACACAUUACCUAAGAGGGUUAGGGCUCAAAGGCACACUAAAAAAAGAGAUGAUGGUGAGACACCGAUCUGUCAAGGAUGAAAGUAAUGCAUCAUGAUCAAUAUGCAUGUAUACUUACCUGAGAAGUAUAGGUCCACUUUUCCUCAUAGAGUUCUCCUUUUCUCAAAAGUUUGAGUCUCUGAUGGUACGCUUUGAUGGCUUUUGUCCCCCUUGCUUACUCGAGAAAUAUCUUACGAUCUUGUCCUCUAGGAAAGACUUGAUGCCAUCAUUUCUUUGUUCUCCGCCCCUUUUAUCUCAAAGGCUGUAAGUUUUGCCCAAUAGUUUCUUAGACAGGGAAUCAUGGAGCCAGCCCUACCAGAUGUUUUUUUGAUUUCCCCCUAGCUUGAUCAUGCCCCCAAGUAUUCAAUUCAGGUUUGGGGAUGAGGCUAUAUGAAGGAAGGUUUGGUUUUUGACAAGGAGUUGUUUUCAUGUAGAAUUUUUGGAAUUUCAAAGUUAUUCCGAACACAGAAAUCAUUUUGACCUUGAUUCAAAGCAAACUCAUUCUGAAGAAAUUCAAAUGAUUCCUAUGGAGAGGUUUUCAAAAGUGAUGAAAACUUUUUGUUUCGAUUUUGGUGAAAAAAUAUGAAGUGACAUUUGGUUGGUCACAAAAAGUUGAAAUUUCAAUUUGUGGGUUAUUGAGAACCAUUGGCGAAAAUAUGAUGAACAUGAAGUGACAUCUGGUUGGUCACAAAAGGUUUAAAUUUCAAUUUGAGGGUUAUUGAGAACCGUUUUCAAAGCAGUCAUUUUAUUUGCAUGAAUAAUGAUUUUAUUUUGCAUGAGAAAGCACUGCCUACCGAUCCAGAUUGCUUGCCUUUGAUCAGAAAGGGCUUGAUUAGGCACGUAAUGUAGGCUUGGGCUUUUGGCUAUGAAGAAAUGAUAUUUGUAGGCUCAAAAGGUGUUUGAGGGACUUUAAGACUAAGGAUCACUAGUGCUUAUAUCCCAAACUCUUUUGUUCAUACAUUUAUGGACCUUGGAAUUGAUUUGUAAAAUGGUCCACGGUGCCCCCCAAUGUUGGGCUUGGGCUCUUUCUCUUUGUUUUUGUUUUCUUCAUUUGAUUUUGAGCAUCAUUGCAUUGGCCUUGUUUUUUUUGCUCAAAAUUUUUGGAUCCUUUGGAUUUUUCUUCAUGCCCCCUAGCUUUAUAUGGGCACCUUUGAUGAUUGAGAAUUUUCUUUUAUGCCCCCCAGUAUUGUUUGGGCAUUUCAUCGUUGAAGACUUUUUCAUGCCCCCAAGAGUUAUUGGGCACUUUCAAUCAUUAUGGAUUUUUUUUUGCACUUGCCCCCCAGUGUAGGGUGUGAUCCUAGCCAAGGUUAUUUUUCAAGAAAAAUUUAUUAGGCUCAAAAGGGGACUGCAAAUGAUAUAUUUCAGCCUUGUGAAAGGAUUAUCAAAGAUGGCCUUUCUUCAUCUCAAAUGCAUGCAUUUAGGAUCGGUAAGCCUUGCUUUCAUGCGAGUAUGCAAAGUGAUUAUUCAUGCAAUCAAAACUCAGCUUUUGGAGUCACUUCAUGGUGUUUUUUUUUUGGUUUUCUAGGUGUAUGGUUACCUCUCUAAGGAAUCACCUGAAUUUCCAGAACUCGUAUAUUUCGGACAAACAUCAACAUGAUUUCUGUUUUUGUACUAAACUUUGAAUUCCCAAAAAUCCUUAUGAAAACAUGCAUAGUUUUGAAAAGAAAGGGAGAAACACGCCCAAAGAUUCUUGACGCAAUGGUUUCAUGCUUGAAGGUUAUGCUCAAUGUGUUAUAUUGCAUGAACAACAAAAAUGAAGGCAUGUGAUGAACACAGGAAAACACAAGAAAGGCUCAAUGGACAUGGAAAGUCUUGUGGAAUUUUGAGCCAAAUUGCCAACAAAAACUGGAGUAGGUUGAAAUAAAAAAUCAAGUUUUUGGAGGCAUGAUCAAACAGAGGUAGUUAUUUUGGCAGAGCAAGAACAGGCUCCAUUCUGCCAUGGUGAUGCAAUUCCCCUUCAGAUUAUAUUGAGGCUCUUGAUCAUGUGGGCCCCUAAUUUCUUCGGGUUGAGUCUUGGUUAGGGCUUGAACAAAAGUGAUAGGUCAAUUGGAAGGACCUUCACCAGAGGCAUUUCUAAGUGUAUGCUCGAGUAAGCUAGUGAGGCGAGCCACGCUUGUUUUCAGAGACUCUAACUCUUCUUGGAAAUGGGCAUCAUGGUGAGCAUGCUCUUCACCUUCCAUGUUUCUUUGCUUGGAGUCGAGUGUUGUAGACUCUUUGGGGACCUAUAUUUCAACCUGGCGCAUGUAUGUAUGUCAUUUACAAUGGAUGGAUGUAUGUGUGUGGAUGCAAAUGUAUGCACAUUUGGUAUGAAUGGAAAAAAACUCAUGCAAAAUGAAUAACAAGAGAGUUCAUGCUCUAAAGGAAGGUUCUAGGUCAUUACAUGAUGGGUAGGCAUUCUACCUGGUCUUGAAAAGGUCUAUGAACUGCCCAGUGACCACCUCACGUGAAGGCAGUGUAGGGGUUUACAAGGAAUGGUUGGGGCACAAUGUGACCGCCAUUACCAAGUAAACACUAAGCUCAUAGUUGGAUGUUUCACGAAUCUGAACCCCGACUGAAAGUCAUGAGGCAGACCGCUACUCCCCACCUAACCUAGAAUAGGGUUUAUUCGCAAAAUUAAAAUGCAUGCUAAAGCAAUAAAAAUGCGAGCUAAAAUUAAAGACCAAUAAAAGGAAAACAAUCAAACAAUCAAUGCUUAGUCCGACCACACAUGGUUGUCCCCAGUGGAGUCGCCAUUCUGUCGCACGUCAAAAUCCGCGCGACAUCGACCGGCGAUUUUUAUUAUUUGUGUUUUGCUUGGUUCGUUGGAGUCGCCACCUAGUAUUAUGGUCACUAGGAACCUAAGAUCUGCGAGAGUCUGAGUAAGGGACUGGUUGUGCAAGGGGAAGACGCAUCACCCCCAGUGCACCCUACCUAAGGUAAGCUGCAUUGUUGUUUGAUUGUUUUUCUAGGUCGAAUUUCUAUUCGUUGGUCUUUCUAAGGUUUCAAGGCAGAUCUCCCCUCAUGAGGAAGUCUCUACCUUAUUCGGUUAAAUCCUAACCAUUCUAAAGUCUUAAUUUAUUUACACCUUGUAUCUUUAAUAUUUGAGGGUGUACUUUAUCAUGUAAUUUUACACCUUUCAAAUAUUAAAGUCUACAUCUAGAUCCUAAAAAAAAAAGAUUGGGAAAAAGGUUUUGAUAUUUUGGCCAAACUAAUGGAUAUCAUAAACUAGUUAUGAUAUCUAUUGUUUUGGAUUUUUUCAAAACGUGAGAAAGAGCAAUUUUUCGAAAAAAACUGCUUGGAAAUUUUUAGGACUUGGCCGUAUGCAAUAAAAUAUUUUUUUAAAAAAUAUUUCGAAAAAGCCGGGUAUUUUAAUACCGGACUUAUAUCUUACAAUGUAAGUAUACAACCAAUAUUAAGCAAACUUGGUGGAAAAAUAUUUGAGAAAACCACAAUUUUUAAAUGAUUUUUUUUAAUAUUUUUUGAAAAUAAAAAAGAAAAACGAAUAAAAAACUAAAAGGCAUGAACAGUGAACAGUGACGGCAUGAACAGUGACGCCGAAGAAGAAGAGGAAGGUGAGCGGACCACCUGGCGUGGCGGCGAUGGCUGGCUGGAGGAGGAGGACCUGAAGCUGGUGGUGGAAACGGCGGUGGAGUUAGCUGGAGCGGCUGCAGCUGGAAGAGGAAAAAAAAGAAAGAAAAUCUGCAGCAGGAAAAGGGAGGAAGGCUGGUUUUUUGGCUUACUUUGGACCCGCUUUUCUCCUCCCUCUAAGCACGAAAUUGGCUCCUAUUUAUAGGGAUGGAAAGAGGGUAAUCUUGUCUUCAACAGGGAAAAAGUCUCAGCCCUUGAUUCGACUUGAGGAAUCCAAGCCGUUGGUUCAAAGUGUGCACCUCGAACUGCAAAAAUUGGCAAUCCAAGGCUGCAGACUGCCCGAGGGUGCCACUUUGGGCCAAUAAACGGAGCCGUUUUCGAGUUGUUCGACCCGACCGGACCACUCUACGAGAUAGAGGGAUUGCAGGUGGACAUGGUGGUGCACGCUUUGUCGGAUUUGGGAACAAACGAGGUAGAAAAUUCGCCUGGAAGUCUGCCACUCGGGCAGCUUUGCGGGGAAGAAGGUGAACAGUAACCAGAUUUGUUUUUUUUUUUUUUUUUUUUCGUUUUUCAAUUUAGUCCGCGUUCUUUCAAAUUAGUUCAAUGGAACCCCUAAUUGACCAUAAACCUUUGAUUUAAUGCAAUUUUGGCCCCUAAUUUCAAUCAAUUCACUUGGUAAAAAUUAAAUUUGGUCUCUUAAAAUUCCAAUCUUCUUAAUUAAGCCUAAAUCAGGCUCCCAAAUUUAAUUUUUCACCAAUUAAGCCCCAAAUAAAAUUAAUUUGACCCACUUAAAGUAUAAUUAAGUCCUUGCACUUAAUUAAAUCCUUCAAUUAGACCUAAAUUAAUUCUUAAACAUAAUUAAAAUUUAAUUUGGCCCAUGAUUAAAUCAAAUUGGCCCAUUAAAAAUUUAAUUAUGUCAUUGGACUUAAUUUUUAUGCAAAUUCGUCCAAUAAUCGUUUAAUUUUACCUUCGAAUUUGCAUUUUUCUAUUCUUGGGCAUAAUAGGGUACAAUUAGGCCUUGAAAUUCCUCUAAAAAUUGCAGCUUUAUUUCCCAGUCUGCUCUCUCCACGUUGCCAGCCUUUAUUUUAUUUUUUGAUUUUUAUUUUGAAGAAAGAAAUUGAUUUUUAGGGAAUAACCCAGAAUUGGGUUAUGACACAGCAUAUGCCUUGGUAACACAUUAAGGGCCGAGCCGUUAUCAAUGAGAACCUUGCCGACGAGACAAUCCUUGCAUCGGACCGUGACAUACAAGGGCUUGUUAUGUCCAGUUCCUUCAGCAUCAAGUUCAUCUUCCGUGAAAUACAAGUAAUUGGCAGCAUGGAUCCUCCCUACUAGAUGCUCCAUAGUCUUUUGCUCAAUAUCUUGGGGCACAUAGGCCUCAUUCAGUACUUUUUGCAAAGCAUUACGAUGUGGCUCGGAGCUGAGUAUUAAUGACAUGAUGGAGAUCUUAGCAGGGGUUUUCUUCAACUGAUCCACUAUACUGUACUCACUAUGCUUCAUCAAUUUCAGGAACUCAUUUGUUUCUUCCUCAGUCACAGGUUUAUUCACCUCAAACUCUUUAUCGAGGUCCAGCACCUCCUUGCCUUUAGCCUUUCUUUGUCUUUCUAGUUCUUCAGGUGUGAAACAACGACCACUCCGAGUUAGCCCACUUAUCUCCGUUCGGAACAGCGGCAAAGGAGCUUCAAUAUUCGAGGUAUAACCAUAAUCUCCAGGCAUCGCUCCAUAGUUUACUUUGCUUGCAUAUGAGGGCCUAGUUAAUACCAGUUUUGAGCGACCAUUAGCUGUUGAUUGGAUUCUACAUUUCUCUAUCAUCUCUACCUCUUCAUUGUCACUUACGUCCUCAAUCCUCAACUCUCCUAGAGUUAGCAUUCUUGCAACUUUUUGAUGAAAUUCAAUGCAUUCAUCAAUGUGAUGCCCUUCCUUUUUAUGGAAAGGGCAAAAGUUACUUUCCCCUGUGCAGUACUCAGUCGUUUCUUCCAAAUGUCCAGACUGUACCAACAUCAAGUAUAGCUUGGCCAUGGUCACUUUCAACACCCUCUUUUUGCUACCAAUCUCCAUGGUAUUCACUCCUCCCCUACCAUCAACAUGUUUAGGUAAAGGGUUUGAAUUCUGAUUAGGCGAAUCCUCAAAAGUGACCCAUCCCACUUUGAUCAGUUGCAACACCUUUCUUUUAAAAGCAAAGCAAGACUCAAUGCUAUGGCCUGCGUGACCAGCAUGGUAUUCACAAGUUACCUCGGGGUUGUACCAGGCAGGGAAAGGUGGUUGCAUAGGUGGUAUGGGUAGGGGAGCUAUCUGCCCAAUACUCAACAGCUUGGCAUACAACUCUUUUAAGGUUAUUGGUAAAGGUAGUUGUUCUUCUGAUGGUUGCUUAUCCUUUCUUUGGUAAUUGUUGGUUAUUUGCUGGGAAUUUGUUUGGAGUGGGGGGUUUGGAAAAGUUAAUACUAGUGACUCGGGGGUAGGUAUUUGAUAGUUUUUUCUUCUCCUUUCUAGGUUGUUCACCUCAAUUUCUUUCUUCCUUCCAAUGAAACCUCUCUUCUCUAGAGGUUCUGCAAUUCUCCCACUUCGGAUCCCUUGUUCAAUCCUCUCGGCGAUCCGCACGACAUCAUAGAAAUGUUGUGCUGAACUACCCAUAAGGUGUUCAUAGUAUGGAGCCCUGAAAGUAUUGGCAAACAAAGUCACCAUUUCUGUCUCUAUCAGCGGAGGUUGCACAUUGAUAGCUUGGUCUCGCCACCUUUGAGCAUAAGCCCUCACGGACUCUUGACUUCCUUUCUCCAUGCUAAUCAGACUGGUCCUAUCAGGAGCAAUCUCUAGAUUAAACUUGUAUUGCUUUAAGAAAGCGUCCGCCAAGUCUGUCCACUUCCUGAUCCUAAUAUUGUCUAACCUCAUAUACCAACUGAGGGCUGAUCCGGUCAGGCUAUCCUGGAAGAAGUAAAUUAACAUUUUUCGUCGUGGAUAACCUCUGCCAUUUUGUUAUAGUAGGAGCGGAGAUGGGUCUUCGGGCAUUCCAUCCCAGUAUACUUAACAAACUCCGGCACUCUGAACUUCUUUGGAAUGACAAUAUUAGGUACUAAACAUACCUCAGCGGCCCUAAUUGGGUCAAACAAAUCAUUUCCUUCAAUUGCCCUUAGCCUCUCUUCUAGGGCAGUCCACUUAUCAUCUCCUUCAUGAUUAGAGAAUUUAAAGUCAUGUGGAUCUUCGUUUGUUAAAUCCAUUGUAAUAGGGAUUUGGAUGGGCCGAGCAGGACUCUGCUUAGUUGGUGUAUUUGCCCCUAUGUUUAUAGGUGCGACAGGAAUUUGAGCUGCUGCUGGUGCUUCAUUAGGUUGAGUAGAUGUUCCCUCUCCAUCUCUGGCUCUUAAUAAUUGCUCUAACAUACUUGUUAAGUGCGCCACAUCAUUCCGAACUCCUUCGAGUUCUCUUUGGUACUGAGAUUCUGGUUGUGACCUUCCUUCGUUUUCCAUUCUUGCUCUUUGUCGAGUGUUGUGGAUUCUAGGAGGGGGACCUAUGUUUCUUAAUCUGCAGAUGCAUGCAUAGAUGUAUGAGAAAAUGUAUGAUUGUGAUGGAUGCAUGAUCGAAAAAUGCAUGCUUUAUUGGGUAUGGAUGCAUCCUUUUUGUGAACGAAUAACAACCAUCACAUUAUAAGCCUUCUCUUGUCACAUUGCUUUGAUAGGAGUUCUGCCUUUCGAGUCGUUUGCUUGAAUCAUGUUCACCAAGAGACAGAUUUUUGCAUAAGAAGAUGGGUCAACGCCCUUUUCAUUAAUGCUUGGAUAAAAAUACAUUUAGAAAUAAAAGAAAUACAACAUGCUAAUCCCUUUCCUCCCUAAACUCUUUGCCAAAGGUAAGAAAGCAAAACCGCGGUUCUCAAUCUUCCCUAGAAAGGCAUCGGUUUCAGCUAGGCUUCGGCGAUAGCGAAUGAUGUCUCCCCCACAUUCCGCGAAUUGAUUCUGACCAUUCGAGCAUGUGCAGCAGCUUCGUCCAUUUGCUCAUCUGUUUUGGUCAUUUUUUCUAUGAGCAACAUGUUGGUUCUGUUUAAAGCAGUGUUGUUGGCGUCGAUUUGAUCUUUGUGCUUCUCCAUUGCUACUAGCUUUUCAUCUAAAUACUUCACUUUUCGUUCUUUGUCAAGCUUUAUCCUCAUGACUUUUAUCUCAUUCUUCUUGACUGCUAACUCUGCUUUAACAUCCUCGAAUCCUCCCUUUUCGCUUUCCAACUCCAUAUAUUUCUUAUUCAAAUCCUCAUACUUCCUAAUCCUAUCCAUCAGCUCGAAUUGCACUUGCCAAAUUUUUCUUGGUAAUAUUCUGCACUUUCUUGGCAAUCGCUAAAGUCCAUCUCCAUUGCUUGAAGUUCAGAGCAACUUUGCAUCCAAUCCAAACUCAUCCCUUUAAGCUCCUUCUCACUUCCUUCCUUAGCAAUCUUCUCCUCAACCAACUUUAACUCCAGCUUUGUUAUUUUCUCAUCUCUAGACUGUAUUUGCUCAUCUAGAAAUGUUCUCAUUUUAUCCUGUUCUAGCAUCAUUUCUUCCAACAUUGCUUUGUCUUUUCUGCUCUUGCUCAAUUCUAUUCGUAGUUUCCACUUGCCUUCUCAAGUCUUCUUCAUUACUAACUCUCUUUCUCUUGAUAGGCUCCUCUUCAGUUGGAGAAGAUUUGACUUCUACACAAGGCAUGGCUGAAGCAGCUGAAUCAUCUUCAAUGUUCACCCUUUUUCUCUUAAUAGGCUCCGCUACAUCUUGAGGAGAUUUAGCUUCUACGCGAGGGUGGCUGAAGUGCUGAGUCUCUCCAUUUUACAUAUCCUUCGCUCACACUUGGAUCUCUUAACCCUUCUAUCUCCACCAACACUAGAUGCUUCCAAUCUUGCUUGAUGAUCUCCAAAACCUCUUCUGCCAUGGGAUCUUUGAACAAACCAGAGAAUUGAGCAAUUCCCAUAGUCCUGGGAACGAACUGCAUGCCCCCAAGUUGUCUUACCACUAAGGCAGGAGCAUAACUCACAUAACCCGUGAUCCCCACCAAUGGUACCCAACGCCUUUGUCCACAACUCAUUAGGACCUUCACUGACGUUACCCAUGGGGCCCUCCACUUAAACUCGCUAUUAGGUAAACCUUCUAAUUUAUCAACCCAACCCUGGUUGUCUAGAUCUCCCCAUUCUUCUUCUUCUACUAACUUGAGGGGUUUUUGGGUGAACCACCAAAAAUUAUUGAAGACAGGUUUCUUUGUCUCGAUAUGGCUAACCAUCCAAAUAUACAACAGUUGCGUGCAGCAUCUCAUUGCUCCUUUUCCGGCCCUCCUACAAUGGUUAAGUGUCAAAAUUGUUUCGGCUAAAAUAGCAGCCACUGGAUUGAUUCGUGUAUUCUCAUACUCCACAUAAGCAGCAGCGGCCUCCAAACUCACUAAACCAAUCUGACUUGGGAACAACACAAGGCCAAAUAUACCUAGGGCAAUCAAUCUCUCUUUUUCUACUCCUGACUUCUUUUCCAAUUCUAACAUCCUCCAUUUCAAACCGGUACCAUUCUUUUGAAACUUUUCCAAGUUGGAGAUUCUGAGCAGCUUUGACAGUUCAGGGAUGAUCUUGUCGGAUCUUAAAGGAGAAUAAAUCCGAUACAGGUCGUUGGGAAACUCGGUCAACAAUCCAUAUUCCUCAACCGUGGGGCACAAGUCUAUGCUUCCAAAGGAAAAACAUCGGUAGUCUGGAUCCCAAAAAUGAACUAAAGCUCGCACAGCUGGGCUUAAAACUUCUACCUUUGCAAUUUCCAUCAAACGUCCGUAUUUCCUAAAAAAUGCAUCUUUAUCCACAUUCUGAAAAUGAGUCGUUAACUUGUUCACCUCAUUCAAUACGCAAUUCAGGUUCUUGAUUGGUGACAUCUUCUUAGCAUCGCUUCUAAGGCAGUCUCCUUCAGUCAAUUGUGACAGUUCAGAAUUUUUUCCAUAUUCUAAGAUGGAAGAUUUAGUGAUGAUGGCCAUUUCGUUCACAAGUCCUGCAAUUCAAAAUGCAUUGGGGUUUAGACUUUGUUUGGAUGCAAAAGAUAUGUUGGAACAUACACCCUAAGGAUAGGUUCUAAUUUCUCUACGUGAGACAUAGGGUAGGUUUACUAUUGGGUCUCUAAAAGAGGGUCUCUUGCUGUUCCAGUGAUCAGCCUUCGUAAAGGCGAUAUGGAGGUCUAGCAGAUAGUGGGAUGGUACGUGUACCAAUCACAAUCAGUCUAAACACUCAGCAAAGAGUUGGGGUUUACACAAACUUAAACCUUGACUCAAGUCAUAAGGCAAGCUGCUAGUCCCCCACUUAAACUUAAAGUUACAUGUGUGUGCACUCCAAAACAUAAUAACAAUAAUAAAGUGAUGCAUGACUAUGCCAUGUAUGAUAGAAUGUAAAGAUAUAUGCUAAAGCUUUUAAACAAAGCAUCAUAAGAAAACAAAAACCAAUAACACAUAACAUAAACAAACAAACAAAUCAAGCUUAGUCCAAGGGUCCCCAGUGGAGUCGCCAUCCUGUCGCACCCCAAAAAAAAUAAAAAAUUUGGCGUUCGACUGGCGACUUUCGUUUUGUUUUUUUGCUGAUUUGGUUCUUUGGAGUCGCCACCUAGUAUUUUGGUCACUAGGAACCCUAACUGGUCUUUCAGAGAUUCUAAGGCAAGGGACUGGUUGCGUAAAGGGAAGGUAUUAGCACCCCUAGUACGCCCUACCUAAGGUAAGCUGCUUGGUGUUUGGUUUGCUCUAUAAUGCUAUGGUGUUGGUAUUUUCUAGGCUCGUCAAUUGAUUUUGGAUAGAAAUCUAAGGAGAUUCCAUGUGCUUUGAAAGCUCAUUUUUCCCUUAGUAUUUCAAAAGUUUGCGACUCAUAAAUCGUGGAGAAAAAAAAUUAAAUUUUGAAAUGUCCUCGAUUAUAAUCAAGGCUUCUUUCAAGAAUGUGUGCGGAUUUAUUACUCCCAAUAAUAUUUUGGAUAUUCAUCCUUUUAAGGAUUUCUUUAUCCAAACAUUAGCGGUAAAUAAUAAAUAAAUUCCUCCCAAAAUAAGAUUUUUAUAGUUUUUGAAUAUUGGCCAAUACCCUUUGGAAUUUUACAAACACGUUGUAAAAUCCAGAAAUGCAAGAAAAUAAUUUGUGUUUAAGAAAUCUAUGCGAAAACACACUUUCGAAGCUUCCAAUAUAUUUUUUUUAAAAAGAAAUUCAAAACAUGUUAGAGUAUUGGCCGUAUGCAACACGCAAGAAAAAUUUUUUUUUUUAAAUAUUUUUUUUUUGACGAAAACGGUAUUUUAAUACUGAAUUUGUAUCUCCACAUAAAAAUACAAACAAUUAAAUCAUAAAAAAAUGUGCGGAAAAAUCCACAAUAUUUUUUAGAAUUUUUGAAAGCAAAAGAAUUUUUAUCUUUGAAAAUCUGGAUGUCUUGACGAAAACCGGGUAUUUUAAACACUGAAUUUGUAUCUCCACAGUAUUACAAACCAAUGUAUAAAAAAUAUAUAUAUGAAAAGAAAACAAUUUUUUUUUUGAUUUUUUUUUUAUUUUUUAAAAUAUAUAUAAUAUACAUGCAUAAAUAAUAUAAUAAUAUAAUAUAAUAUAAUUAAUAAAUAUAUUAAUAUUAAGGGGCUGGGCCGGCCAACUAAACUGGGCCGGACCAGCCUUAAAAGUCGUUGGGAACUCGGCCCAAAAGGGAUUGGGCCGAUCUCGGCCCAAGAACUAAUUAACCUCGGUCUGGGCCGGACCCAGCCCAGACCGCCGAUUGGGCCAGAAUCCCUCUGGCCCGUCCCGCAUAGUUUUGGGCCAGACACCAUCUGGCCUAGAGAAGGGAAAAAAAAAAAGAGCACGGGGGGGAAUUAUUUUCCCCCCCCCGCCUCCUGCAUGCAGAACGACUCUGCAUGCAGGAGGCAAAACUGAUGCAGGUUUCGAAAAAAAAUACAGGGGGGAAAGAAAGCGUACCUGGGGCGGCGGAGACGGUGGCUUGCUGGCGGUGGCAGCGUCCUAGCUCACGGACAGCGACUCCUCACGGUGAUUUCCAAACAAUCCGGCGACGCCCUCUCGGUUCGUUUUCUUCGUUUUGUUUUCUAAAUUCCCUCCCAGCAUUAAACUUUCACUCUUCUCUUGCUUUUUUUGGGGUUUUCGGUGGCUCUCUCUCCUCGGUUGGGUGUUUCUCUCUCUUCCUCUCUCUCUUCGUUUUUUGGUUCUCUUCGGGUUCCUCUCCUUUUUCUUUUUCUUUUUUCAUCCCUGUUUCUCUUAUUAUGUUCUCUAUUUAUAGAGCCAGGGGGCGUGGCUUCACCGUGGAGCCAAGGAGCGGGUCGAGGAGCGGGUCGAGGAGCGGCUGUUCAGGCGGACCUCCCUCGGUUUCGGCAGUGCGGCGGGUGGUCAACCAGUGUCUUCUGUCGGUGACCCACCGGCGUGGGGCCUUGGUUGGUCGAGGGACCUACAAAAAAAUGUAAACAAUGCAAACUUUUCCUUCUUCCCCGCUGUAUGUUCGGGGGAAGAAGAAAGGUGAACAGUGUCGUUCAAAACGGCACCGUUCGGUCUUCUCUUUUUUUUUUUUUAUGUAUGAAACGGCGUCGUUUUGGAGAAAACGCGCCGUUUCAUUUAAAAAAAAGGCGCCAGAACAUUUGUUUUUGAAUCAGUCAUUAAUCAUCUUUGUUCAAUUCAAUUUCGUCCCUGCCAAUUUCGGUCCGUCCCCAUAGUUGGCCGCGUUUUUCACUUUGGUCCUUGGCCUCUGAUUUAUGCAAUUUAGCCCUCAAUUGAUCAAUAAACUUCUAAUUUCUUCAAUUAAGCCCCCUGAAUCAAUUCCAAACAGCCCCCUCUAUCUUUGCGCCUUUUUCAAAUUGGUCCCUGGUUUCGAAUUUUCACAAUUAAGUCCCUAAUUGGCCAUUAAACGUCAAUAUUUAUGCAAUUAAGCCCCUGAUUUGACCCAAUAAAUUCCUAAAAAUUAUAAUAUGGCCCCAGAACUUUAAUUUCUUCUAAUUAAAACCCAAAUUGACUUAAAAAUCAAUUUUUCUUGCAAUCAAAUCCCCUAUAAAUUCAAAUAAAAAUCCAAUUAAGUCCAUAAACAUCCAAAUUUGGGCUUUUCUCCUCAAAAUUCAAAUUUUCCUUCUCAAUAGGGCUCUCAUCCUUCAAGAAUAUAUUGUCAAAAAAUCCGCCUUUGCCUUUUUAAAUUCCUUGACCAAUUUUCUGAUCAUUUUUGAGCGCUUCUGCCUCCUGUUAUUUUUUCUAACCUCUUUUGGCUAUUUAUUUUAUUUUUUAUGGGGACCCAAAAAUGGGUUACAACAUCACGUAUUGGUUAAGUUAACCUGUAUUGAUUGGGGUUAUUGUUGCCUCUAUAUCUUUUAUUAUGUUAGGAAAAACUUAAUAUAACCGGCAAGGUAGUGCAAAACACCUACCUGGUCACUAUUAAAAAGAGAUUUAUAGCAGAAGACAAUGUUUGUUUUUGUGGUUGAACCACACUUUUAAAAAUUUUAAAAUUUAUUGUUUUUCUUUGAAUUGAUUUUAUUUUUAUGUUUUUAGAUCGUUUUAAUAUGUUGAUAUCAAAAAUAAAUUUUAAAAAAUAAAAAAAUAUAUUAUUUUAAUAUAUUUUUAAAAAAUAAUCACUACCACAACAACAAACAACAAACAUGAUAUAAUUACCAUCACCAAACACCUUCACUUUUACCAUUUCUCAAUAAUUACUUGCCAUUUCUUGCUCGCAUCCCGUGCUUUUAGUAUCCUUAAAGCUUUUCCACUUCUUCCUUUGUCAACAUCCAAUUCCUUUCCCUUAGAAAAACAAGCUAUGGGUGAUACAGUUUUUAUUAAUUUAUGAAUUAUAAGAUAUAAUGUGUAACUUUUAAAAAUAUAAAAAGUUAAAUAAAAACAUAAUUAAACUAUAAGAGAUUUUUAUAAUUAUUUCUAAAAAUUAACUUGGAAUGCUACCGGUAUCAUAGCAUGGAUCCACUUAUAAACUGCUAUGCUCAUUUGUUUAAAAGAGAAAAGAAAAGUAAAUUAUACUCGAAAUCAUAGUUAAUUUUGGCCUAUAAUAAAACAACUUGAGAUUCCAGGUAAAUUUACGUGUUAGGGUGUGCCUUUAUUUGUAGAAAUUCCUAUAAUCUAGUUGUGGAAAUUCCUCGUUUAAACACUAGUCUGUUUAAUAAUCUUUUCAAGGCUCAACUAUGUUACUAGAUUCAUUUGUUAAAUUAUGAAUUAUAUCAACUUCAAGUUUCCCUCGUCAGAUUUUGAUCCUUAAAUCCGUACUUAGAAGUUCAAGCAGGACCAUGUUACUCUCAUAGAAUUAUAACCGGUAAGGUACGUAGCCUAUAUUUUGUUAAAUUAUGGUAAAAAAAUAAAGAUAUAUAUAUAUAUAUAUAUAUAUAUAUAUAUAUGAAUUUUUAAUGUUUAAUCAUCAGAGUUUUGAUUCAUUCUUUUCUUUUAUAUCUUCUCUCUCCUAUUUUUUUUUUGUACCAUAUCAUCUGUUUUUUUAACUAUUAUAUUAUUUUUAUUUCUUUCAAAUACAUUUUGACUUUUGCAUAGAUAAGUUAUUUAAGAAAGCAAAAACUUCAAUAGAAAAGAAAAAUCAAGUUGACGAAUGUUGUCUUCAAAUCACAGGCGAGUUGCUUCUCAGAAACUUCAAUGCUUUAAUACAGACAGAGACAGGCAUGGCUAAUCAAGUCUGCACCGUGUGGAGCCUAAUCAGUAUAGUUAAAGAGACUGCAGUUUUAAUAUUUUGAUAAAAUUGAACCACCACAUUUAUUGGAGUGGUGUCGUUAUUAUUUUUUAUUUUUAUAUAAAUAUAUUAAAAUAAUAUAUAUUUUUUAUUUUUAAAAAAUUAUUUUUAAUACCAACAUAUAAAAUAAUUUAAAAUAUAAUUGAUGUAUUACGUUUCCACUAAAAUCAGUAAUAAAAAGAGAUCGAUAGCAGAAGUAAAAUCCCAUCACCAAACACUUUCAUCCUUUCCAUUUCUCAUCUCAUACCGCUCUUUCUUCUCAGUAUUUACUUCCCAUUUCGUGCUCACCUCCCCGCUUUUAGUUUCCGUGCACCUUCUCUACUUCUACUUCUCAACAUCCAAUUCCUUUCCCUCCGAAACAAGCUAUGGCUGACGCAGUUGUUUCUGCUGUAGCGAGUGCAAUCUUGGAGAAGUUGAGGUUGCUGGUUCUCAAAGAGGUUAGGUUUGCUCGGGGCCUAGACACCGAGCUUGAGCAUCUCGCAAGCACCCUCGCAAUGGUUCAAGCUGUGCUCCAGGACGCAGAGGAGAAGCAAUGGAAGAGCAAGGCUUUAGAGAUUUGGCUAAGACUCCUCAAGGAUGCAACUUAUGAUGUUGAUGAUGUGCUGGAUGAGUUUGAAAUUGAAGCUCAAAGGCAUCGGCUGCAAAGAGAUGCCAAAAACCGACUGAGAUCCUUCUUUACUCCUGGUCACGGUCCACUCCUUUUUCGAUUGAAAAAGGGGCAUAAAUUGAAAAAUGUGAGAGCAAAAUUGGAUGCCAUCGCCAAUAAGAAAAACAUGUUUGAUUUAACACCAAGAGCUGGAGAUAUAGCAGCUGAUAUCUAUGAUUGGAGGCUUACCAACUCACUCGUGAAUGAGUCAGAAAUUUGUGAAAGACGGAAGGAGAAAGAGGAACUACUCAACAUCCUGCUCUCUAAUGACGACGAUCUCCCUAUUUAUGCUAUAUGGGGAAUGGGGGGACUCGGGAAAACAACACUUGCUCAAUUGGUCUACAAUGAAGAAAGGGUUAUACAACAAUUCGGUUUGAGAAUCUGGGUGUGCGUGUCUACUGAUUUUGACUUAAGAAGAUUAACAAGAGCCAUCAUGGAGCCUAUUGACGGUGCCCCUUGUGAUCUUCAAGAAUUGGAUCCCUUGCUACAACGCCUCCUACAAAAGUUAACUGGAAAGAAGUUUUUGCUUGUGCUGGAUGAUGUGUGGGAAGAUUACACUGAUUGGUGGAGUCAAUUGAAGGAGGUAUUAAGGUGUGGAGCUAAAGGUAGUGCUGUAAUAGUAACUACGCGUGAUGAGCCGGUUGCUCGUAGAAUGGCAACAGCUUUAGUCCAGCCCAUGGGGGUAUUGUCUCAAGAAGAUUCCUGGCAUUUGUUUCAACGGCUUGCAUUUGGGAUGAGAAGGACAGAGGAGUGGGCACACCUGGAAGCCAUUGGAGUAUCAAUAGUGAAGAAGUGUGGUGGUGUUCCUUUAGCUAUAAAGGCACUCGGGAACCUAAUGCGGCGAAAAGAAAGUGAAGAUGAAUGGAAAAAAGUAAAAGAAAGUGAGAUUUGGGAUCUAAGAGAAGAAGCAAGCCAGAUCUUACCUGCUUUGAGGUUGAGUUACACUAAUCUAUCACCACAUUUGAAGCAAUGCUUUGCGUUUUGCGCUAUAUUUCCAAAAGAUCAGGUGAUGAUGAGGGAGGAGCUGAUUGCUUUAUGGAUGGCAAAUGGCUUUAUUUCGUGCAGAAAUGAAAUCGAUCUGCACAUUAUGGGUCUUGGGAUAUUCAAUGAACUAGUGGGAAGGACAUUUCUGCAAGAGGUCCAUGAUGAUGGAUUCGGCAACGUAACAUGUAAAAUGCAUGAUCUUAUGCAUGAUCUCGCACAAUCCAUUGCAAUACAAGAAUGCUAUAUGAGAACAGAAGGCGAUAGGGAGGUGGAAAUUCCUAAAACUGCAUGUAGCUUUUUAUAACAAAUCAGUAGCUUCGUCUUCUGAAGUUCUCAAGGUUCUAUCACUUCGCUCAUUUCUUUUGAGGAAUGAUCAUCUUUCGAAAGGAUGGGGACAGAUUCCUGGUCGAAAACAUCGAGCACUGAGUUUAAGAAAUGUCUGGGCCAAGAAAUUGCCAAAGUCAGUUUGUGAUUUGAAACAUCUAAGGUAUCUAGAUGUGUCAGGCUCCUGGUUCAAAACACUGCCUGAAAGUACAACCUCUCUCCAAAACCUCCAAACACUAGAUCUGAGAGGUUGCAGAAAACUCAUCCAAUUACCAAAAGGUAUGAAGCACAUGAAAAAUCUUGUCUAUCUUGACAUCACGGAUUGUGGUUCACUUCGAUUUAUGCCUGCUGGAAUGGGGCAAUUGAUAUGCCUGCGAAAACUUACCCUGUUCAUUGCGGGUGGGGAGAAAGGUCGUCGCAUAAGUGAGCUGGAAAGGCUGAAUAAUCUCGCUGGUGAACUGAGAAUCGUAGAUCUUGUGAAUGUUAAGAAUUUAAAAGAUGCCAAAAGUGCCAAUUUGAAGUUGAAGACAGCUAGCUCUUUUAUCACUGACUUUAUCUUGGCAUGAGAAUGGAUCUUACCCUUUUGACUCUCGGUCAUUUCCGCCAUCACAACGAAGAAAGAGUGUUAUUCAGAAAAAUAGCGAGGAGGUCCUUGAUGGGCUUCAACCUCCUUCAAAAUUGAAGAGGUUGAGGAUAUUGGGAUACAGAGGUUCAAGAUUUCCUAAUUGGAUGAUGAACUUGAACAUGACGCUACCAAAUCUGGUAGAGAUGGAGCUAUCAGCAUGUGCCAACUGUGAUCAACUUCCAUCAUUGGGGAACCUCCAGUUCCUCAAAAGUCUUAAAUUAUGGGGAUUGGUUGGUGUGAAGAGUAUUGACAGCAUUGUAUAUGGAGAUGGGGAAAAUCCAUUCCCAUCUUUGGAGACGCUGACUUUUGAGUGCAUGGAGGGAUUAAAGGAAUGGGCUGCAUGUACUUUUCCUUGCCUUCGAGAACUGAAGAUAGCUUAUUGCCCUGUGUUGAACGAGAUACCAAUUAUACCCUCCGUCAAAACAUUACACAUCGAGGGAGUGAAUGCUUCGUGGCUCAUGUCAGUUAGGAAUCUCACUUCUAUCACCUCCCUUUAUACAGGACAGAUUCCAAAAGUGAGGGAGCUUCCUGAUGGGUUUUUGCAAAAUCAUACCCUUCUUGAAAGCUUAGAAAUUGAUGGGAUGCCAGAUCUGAAGUCUUUGUCAAAUUGGGUAUUAGAUAACCUUACUGCUCUUAAAAGCUUGAAGAUUCAGUGGUGUUAUAAGCUUAAAAGCUUGCCAGAGGAAGGUCUUCGUAACCUCAAUUCCUUGGAGGUUUUAGACAUACAUGAUUGUGGAAGAUUAAAUUCUUUGUCAAUGAAUGGGUUAUGUGGCUUAUCUUCUCUUCGUAAGUUAUUUAUUAGAAAUUGUGAUAAAUUCACAUCUCUAUCUGAGGGAGUGCAACAUUUGACGGCACUUGAGGAUUUGUUGCUUCAUGGAUGUCUAGAGCUGAAUUCAUUGCCAGAGAAUAUCAAACAUCUCACUUCUCUCCGAUCUCUACAUAUACUGAACUGCAAGAGAUUAGCUUCUUUGCCAAAUCAAAUUGGACAUCUCACGUCUCUUGCACGCUUGACGAUUGGGGGUUGCCCUAAUUUGGUGUCUUUACCAGAUGGGGUGCAGAGUCUCAGCAACCUCAGCUCAUUGAUAAUUGAAAAUUGUCCAAAAUUAGAGAAGAGGUGUAAGAGAGGGAGAGGAGAGGACUGGCCUAAGAUAGCUCAUAUCCCUGAGAUUAUAAUAUACUAAAAAUGAAGGUAAUUUCUCCUAUAGCAGUAGUAAGCUCUCUUUCAAUUCAAUAUUUUAGAUACACACACAUAUCUGUGUUCUCUUAUGGUUAUUGGCUGAGGUUGCUUCAUGAAUAAUUGAUCUCAAUUAUAUUUUUACUUUCCUAUUGUAAUGCCUAAAGAUAACCUACAAUGUAGUAAUUGAAUCCUAAUAGAAAGGAAAGUCUGAAAUCCUGCUUGUAUAAAUAUACAUGAAGAGAUCAAUGAUAAUAUUACUCCAGCAGAUUCAAUUUCUCUGCCUCUCAAGUUUUACAUCGUUAAGUUAAUUUAUGGUUUCAUUUCUGCAUAGUAAAUCAGUACCUGUUGCUCGCACAUUCUUAUUUUAGUGUCAUGUUUGCGGCACCUCAUGAUUUUUUUUAUACAUUAGUCUUCCAUGAUUUUUCUAUAAAUUAAAGACCCGUGCACAAAAAAAAAAAAAAAAAAAAGGGGACAUAUUAAUUAAAACAGUUGGUCUCGCGCGUGAUCAAUGAAUUGAACAGAUAAUUUAGUAAUUUAAACCUCUUAAUUUCAGGUUAGUCUUCCAGUUAGACUUCUAAUAACAGUGUAAAAUGAUGAGGUAAUUUCAUUCUUCAAAAAUACAUAAAAAUCCACUCUCUCUUGCUUACUCUCUCUCUAGAUGGUGUGGGACAGUUCAUUCUCUGAUAUCAAGAAGAUUGGAAAGCGGCUGAUCAGCUAACCCGAAUAUAUAUUUAAUUCAAGCAUGUUUUAAGAACUCGUAUAUAAAGAUGAUAAUUUAAUUUAAAAUCGAUGAUAUUAACCUAACCCGAAUGUAUAUUUAAUUGAAAAUCAAUGAGUAUUGACCUAACCCUAACCCGAAUAUAUAUGCAUUUUUUAGACUUUAUUGACAAAUCAAGAACCAUUUCAGAUUCACUGCACAAACACAGCCAACCAUGUAUAAAAACAUUGCAAACAUCAAAAAGCACACCAUCAGCUAUAACCAACUCAAAUGAUUUAACAAAAUAUCAUGAAUUCAUGAUUCCUAAAUGCAACAGUAUAACAUUAAAACAUUCUAGAAAAACAUAACAAUUAACAGUACCUAAAACUAAACCUUUAAUUACAGAUGAAACACCACCAUAUAUAAACAUGGAAUGCAGCAUGCCACUUCAUAUUUCAGUAACAGUGGGACUCAAAUAAAAAAGUUUGUAAGCGCAUAAAAUAAGCUAAGGUAUAAUAUACAUAUGCAUUCCAUAUGUGAGCAUCACAUUUCUGUACACUUUUAUUAAUGAACCCGUGCCCACAAAAAUAUUCUCUUCCAUCCCUUCCCAAGCUCCCACUCCGCUUGAACAAAAUAGAAAGCUCCAAGAGAUAUGCACAUGUUUUUUCCAGAUUGCAUAAAAGCUCCUUCCGAAUCAUAAAUUCCGAGCAUUUCUUUUCUAAUGAAAAACUUUACUUCGAAGAAAAACUUUUAUACGAAUGCAGUUUCAGUAAAUCCCCAGCACAUCAGGUGAAUUCUUAAAUUUACACAAUCACCUUUAGUUAGUCUAACAGCUUUGUCUUUCUUCUAUUGUAGCUUAGAAAAAUAUUUCCAAAAAACUGCCCUCGAUCUAUAACGGACAAACAUCAAGUCAUCUUAUAUGCAGGGACUCUAUUCAAGAAGUUUGUAAUGAAGCCAACACACAUCAGGUGAGUUCUUGCAUUUACACAAGUUAAUUCUUGGUUAGUUUACCAGCUUUUUCUUUCUUUCUCAUGUACCUUCAAUUUAUAAUUAAGAAACAUCAAGUCAUCUUAAUUUAUAAUUAACAAACUAUAUUCAAGAAGUAUGUAUCACAAAACCCAAAUUGUGCAAUGGCAUGUGCUUGAAAAACAAAAACUAAGCUCUGACUUCAAGAUGGGGCAAAUACAGCCAUAAUCUGGACCUGCAGUCCUAACGAUCACCCAACUAAAAACGCUAUAUACAAUUGAAUAUUCUACCAAGUACAGACAUACACUGAUAUAUACAGUAUCUUUCAAACCUCAAAACCACACUAGACCAAUCAAAUUCAAACGGAUAGAAGAGCUAAACUUAUUGUAUUUCCAUGGAAAUAUAUUUUGAUCUUUCCCACAAUGAAAGCGGGUGACUUGCUUAUUUCUUGUAGAAUAUGACUCAUUUAUAUAUUAUAUGUAUAUUAAUUUAAAAAUUUAAAUUGUUAUGUAAAAUUUUAAAAUGUGAUUUAUAUCAUUUUUUAGUAUACAUUUUAUGUGAUUAAUUAAUUUUAAAUAUAAUAAAAAAUAAAAAUAAUAAUAUUCAAACUCGUGAUUGUUUAAGUAUCAAAGCUUUAAUAUAAUAUUAAAUAACUAUUUAAACAAAAUAAUUUAGACCAUUAAAUAAUUUUUUAAAAUAUUAUUUAUAUUAUUUUUUAAUAUUUUUCAGCCACACGAUCCAAAGCUCGUAAUAGGAACUGAUUUUAGUGUGCCACACAUUACCUAUCCAUGCUCUAAAGGUUCUAGCUGUAAGUUUCAUGCUUUACCCUGUUUUAAUGAGGAUAUAUUCUGAAUUUCAUUUUAGAAAAGCUAUUUUUUAUUUUUUAUUUUUUAUUUUUAUUUAAGAAAAGGUUAUAAUGUAAAACGUGAUGGAACUCCUAUUGGAUAAAAAAUAAUAUGAAAAAACUUCAUCCCUGACAGUAGACAUCUCUCAUUUGAGUCACACAUCCAUCCAUAUCAAUUUUUAUUUAAUAAAACUUUGUUAUUUUGGACAAUAUUUCUGUUAAAAAAAAAGAGAGUAUAUUUUAGAUAGUAAACCCAAUUAAAGAAUGCUGGGCACUUUAGUAACCUAAUUGAAAAGGAUAUUUAGUUUCAGGAUUUUAAAAGUGUUUAAAAUUAUGAUAGAGGAUGCUUUUUAAAAUAUUUUUUUAUUAAAAAAUAUAUUAAAAUAGUAUUUUUUUAUAUUAGAAAAUCAAAAUAAUAAAAAAAUACUAAAAAAUAUUCAAUUGAAGCUUUUAAAAUAAAUUUUAAAAAGUGUUGUUCAUCAAUUGAUAGGUGGUGAACUAAUUAAAGUUAAGGAAAUUCAAGUUCUGAAUCCCUUUAAUCUUAAAAUAAAAUAUAUUCUGGCUAUAAUAAAAUAAAAUAAAAUUCCUAGUCAAAUCUACCAUAGAAGAAGGCCUUCCAUGGAAAAGGACCACAGGCUUUGAUGGUGGCUCCAUUUUCUACCUUUUAAAAUUGCUCGGCCCAGCCCAACUAUCACCACCACCAUGUAACUAACUUAAUUUCGCGCCAAGCCUCAACAUCAACGGCCCCCCUAGUCUCAGUUCCCGCCGUCCAGUUCUCCACACCAAAUCUGUCCAAGGUCACUCGAUGUUCCCCUCAAUCUCUCAUGCACAUUCAUAUGCAUGGAUGGAAUUAGGUUUUAGGUCGCUGUAAUAGUUUAGUUUUCAGGCUGAAAUGUAAAAAAGACCGAUUUGAUUUCACUUUCAUGUAUUAGAAACUCAUUUGACUUGUUCAAGAAAUCGGAUUUGAGGUGGGUUUUAUACAAUUUUCCGAGAUUAACUUCUUUUUUUUGUGUGUUUCUGGUUUGUUAAUUGUGGUUGUUGAUGGAAGUAAUUGGUAAUGUAGUUUAUGUAUUUGUAGAAAGUCUCCAGUCAACACGUUCAUUGAUUGUUUCAAACUUGAGCAAAUCAUAUCCAUUGCUGACUGUUUGAUGGUUAACCACUAGUCUUGUUUAAUAAUUUUUUCAAGGAUUUUAAAUAAUCUCUUACUCUCUGCCUCUCUCAACUCUUUUUGAGCCUUCGAAUAGAAGAGUCUGCAUUCAUUUACUUGAGAUAUGUAUAGGCAUGGAAGCCCCAUUCAGCUGACAGAUAAUUGCCACUAUAGAGACCAUUACUCUAUUGAAACCCAUUUCGUUACCACAACGUGUCACCUGUUCCAUCUUAGUUCAUUGUUAUUUAAUUCUUAAAAAAAUGGAUAGAUAUGCGUCUUUAAUACAAGAUUGUAUUUAUAUACUAAAUUACAAUGAUCCGUCCGUGCUCGAUGCGAUAUUUCUGGUAUCAAUUAACAAAUAAGAUAUUGAGGAUUCUAGGCAAAUUGAAUUAUUAUUCCAAUAGACCCUAGAAAGUUUCAGGAUGUAAUAGUUGAUUUAGUGGCUAAUACUUGAUAGGGCAUAAUCACCGAUUUAGUUUUAGAAGUAGUGUUGAUUUUUCAGUCUUCUUCCUCUUCUUUUCCCUAGCUAACUUCCGUCUUCUAUUGCAAGGACUUUGGAAAUCAAUGUCAACUUUGAUGUUGAUAGCCCUGCUGCAAUGCCACAAACACCAGCCCCGCCGCAAUCAACUAGACCAUCUCGUUCUAUAAGAUGGCUAGGCACAAACUCUUCUGAUUAAGAAGACUCGCCAACCACUGCUGUGCAGCCUGCUCCUCCCACUAUAGGCAGCUGAUCACAGAUGGCUAGCAGGACUGCUGCUCUGACCAAGAUGAAUCGCAAUGCAACCAUUAGGAAUUGCUGAAUAUGAUGAAGAGGAAGAAGAUUCUGAGGUUACAUCAGGGGAAGAUUCGUAUGACUGUCCAUUAUGCUGAAUGAGCAUUUUACAGAUUUUCCUUGCAAAUAUCGUGCUUUCUCAACACUAUAAUCUGUUGUAUUCUUGUUGUCUUUGUUAAUGCUGGGUUUUGUAUGGAAGUUAGAUAGGUUCGGUAGCUCUUUUGUAGUGUUCAUUUUACUUUGGGGGAUGGACAUCCUGCCAGUAAAAUCACCUCUAAACUACUUGUGUGAAUCUUAAUUCAUCUAUGAGAUUGAAGUAAGUUCUCAUGAGUUUUCCAGGGUUGUACAUUUGCCCAAGCUUUUCAUUUCGGGGUCAAUUUAGGGGUUAUUUGUUUACGCAGCUGCAACUGCUUUUAAAGCAAACUGUGUACACAAUACGUUUGGUAACAAUAAAACACGAAUUACAGCAUACGUGGUACCCGUUAAAAACACUGGUUUGUGAAAAGCAGCUCUCGGCUGCUUCUCACGCGGCUGCGUCUAAUGCCCAGGUGAAUCAAUUCACCUGGGCACUUUUCACUACAAGUGAACAAUGCUAUUCACUUGGCACUGUUCAUAGUAAAAAAAAUUAUAUUUUUUUUAUGUGUUUUAUUCAAAAAAUUAGAAGGAAAUCGUUUAAUGACAUAACAAAAAAUUCAGUUUUUGUUGUUGCAUACUUAAAAAACCAUGGAAAAUAUAGUCCUUGUUUGGUAGAUUUCGUAUGAAAUUGUAUAUAGUUUAAUAGAAUAAUAAAAAAUAUUUAAUAUUAAUAUUAUUUAUUUCAUGAUGUAAUAACAGUAGUUAAAUCUAUAAUAUUUAAAUUAAAAGCCAUUAAUAUAUAUAUAUAUAUAUAUAUAUAUAAUCUCAAUUUGAAAAGUAUUUUUUUAACCAAACACAUUAAACUAUUUUUUGUUUAACCUCAAUUUCAACCAUAAUUUUAACUAAACAUAUAUUUUUUCAAAUCAAUCUCAAUUAAAAAUACUUUUUAUAAAAUAUUUUUUUUUCAAACUAUAACCACAAUCGCUAUUACAAUACCAAACAUACUUUUAAUUAUAGGCUAGUUAUAUUUCUAUGUACAUAGGGCCAUGACAGUUCAAGGGAUCGUGGGCUGAACUUUUGGAUGUUGCAUUAUCACUUUGGGUUUUUCUUUUGAUUGUACAAGAAAUUUGAAAGAACAAUCCAUAUGUUGCAUUAUCACUUUGGGUUUUUCUUUUGAUUGUACAACAAUGAACAAAGAGAUAUUUGAAACCACAAUCCAUAUGUUGCAAGCAGAAGUCACAGCUCACACCCACAAGGACAAGUUAAAGGUAGAUAGAUAGGCUUGUAGCCGGAAUCCGGGAAGUUCCUACACAGCAAUGAAACCAAGCCUUAUUCUCCUACUAAUAACUCGCUUAGAAACCCCCCUCCUCCGGGAAGUUCCUACAUCUCACACGGGCAAACUUGCACCACAGUUUUGAAACCAAGCAUAGGAUGAAACGAAGAACGAAAGAGUCAUAAAAAAAUGCACCACAGUUUUGAUCAGAUCUUUUGCGAUCUUUGGAUAUAAAAGUGAAGGGUACAUUGCCUCUUGGUUGCAUAAUUUCUUAAUGGAGAGGCACCUAGAGGACGUUCUUGACUUUGGGGAGUAUACAAAAGCAAACCCACAAUCUUAUCUUUUCUUCAGUCUUUUAUCUUUUCUUGAUUUGUCAAGUCUACAACGUGUGAAGCCUACGCGGAUUGGCCAGUGCGGGACAAAGACAUUUACUAACCGACAAGCUAAUUCAAGUUGAUGAAUGUUGUCUUCAAAUCAUAGCCAUGUUACUUCUCUGAAACUUCAAUAGCUUUAAUAUAGGCAUAGCUAGUCGAGUCUGCACCGUGUAGAGCCCAAUCAAUAUAUAGUUAGAGGACUGCAGUUUUAAUAUUUUAAUAUAAUUAAAACCACCACAUUAUUUACAAUUACAUUACCAAAAGAAAAACGAUUAAAAGCUAGCAGUAAAACACUCUGGUGCAAGAAACGUUUACACUUUUAGUAUUCUAAAAAAACUAGCAAGUUUCUUCUAAUCGGGUAAAAUCAACUUUUCAACUGAUCAAUUAUGCAUUACAAAAUCGAGUGGUAACAAAUUAGUCCAUACACUUUUUUUUUCCAUGGUGAAAUGAGUUUAUUGUUGAGUUUUCCAAAUAAAAUAUACACGUGGCAAUAAAAACAAUAAAACAAAAUUAUUUAGAAGUCUCUAGUAUCUCAUUAGAUAAAUAUAAAAUUGUUUAGGAAUUUAUUACCUAAAGAUAUGAUCUUCUUUAACUUUAAAUAAUUCUUUAAAGGUUGAGUUAUCACAAACUAUAAAUUAUACAACUAUCUAGCAUCCAACGGUAAUCUACACGAACCACCAGUAAGAAAUCUUUUAAAUCCCUAAUUAGAAGAGAAAUUGUUAUACUUAGAUUGUUAUCUCUAAUUUUGUAUUUAUAUAGUUUUUAUGUUUAAUUGACAAUCUAAUAAAAAAAUAAAAUGCAUAACUUGCUAUCCAUAUAUUAAUUCAAGAAAAAUUUAGAAAUUAACUCAAUCAAGUACUUAUUUGAUUUUUCUAGGUCUAAAAAUAUAAUACUUGUAUUUAUUAUAUUUUAGUCGUUAACUUCUAAAAUAUAUUUUAAUCAAGCCGUACUCAUCCCAGUUUAAUUUCUACCUAAAAGUUUUUAAUAUGUAUGACCUAUUAAGUUCUUAAUAUGUUGGCCCAAAUAUAAAUUAUAAUUAUAAUUAAAUAGAAUUAAUUAAAUUAAACAAUUUAAUUUAUUAUCAAUUCAAUAAUUGAUUAAUUUAUAUUUGAAUACAAUGUGCAUCGUCUAUCAACGUGUCUUGAUCUUCUAAAUAUUUAAAAAAUCAUUAGUGGUUUGACUUAACCUUCCAGUGAUCAAUUUCUCAGUGUAAUUAAUAUACUUUCAUUAAUAAUGUUUUGAUUUAACAUUAAAGUAUGGGGUAUAUCUGCCAUGUUAAAUCAUGUUUAUUCUCUAUAUAAUAGUCAUUGAUCAUUUAAAUAAUAUUUGUAACUCUUUUUAAUCUCAUUCCUUCUUGGUUAUCAAUUUCUCAGUCAAUACUAUUUAAGAAUAGAUAAACUAUUUUUUUAAUUCACUUAGGAUGAUGAAUCUUCUUUUUAUCACUCAAGUAUUUUUAUUAUUAUUAUUUCUUAAGAAUAGUGAAGAGACAGAAUUUUUCCUUAAUAAAAAUAAUAUAAGUAUGGUUCCAGGGGGGUUUUUGUAUUUUUCUUAAUUUUUUAAAGUUGAGCCAGGGGUUGUUUUGUAAUUUUAGGAAAAUAAAUAUUAUAAAAAAAACUGUUGACGUGUGCAAAUCAUGUGUUAGCGCAUGCAGAGCCGUUCGAUGACCAAAAUCAGUCAUCUACAACAAUGUUUGGAGGGGAGCGUUGUCCUCUUUGCAUUGGCGAGGUGUGUGUUCACGGUAAAGGUGCAGUUGGGUUCCAAUGAGCUUUUUUUAUUAUUAUUUUCUUAUCUCUUCUCUUUCUUUUAGCUUAAAAAUUCAUGUGUCCUUCCAAAAUUUGAUUGUGUCCUCUAGUUUCUAUUUCUAUCAAUUUUAAUUCUCAUUCUUUUGAUUACUAUUUGUUUUUCAUUUAAUACUUUUUGAACUUUUUUUAAAAAAAAAUCAGACAUUUUGUUUCAUUUAGUUUUUGUAUCCAAUUUAGUUCUCAUUCUUUUGAUUUUAUUUUUUUUGUGUUUUACUAUUUUCUUUAUUUGUUUUUAUUUUAUUUUUUCCUUCAUCAUUUUAUUCCCUUUAAUUGUUUUUAUUCAAGUUUGAUCCUCAUUCUUUUGAUCUAUGUAUUCUUAUUAUUUUCUUGAUUUUUUUUUAACCCUCAACAUUUUAUUUCAUUUAAUUUCUUUAUCAAUAAUGAUUCCCAUUCUUUUUAUUGCUAUUUUUAUUUUAUUUUGUCUUUUUCAAUUUAAUCUCGAAUUAUUUUUUUUCAUUUGGUUUUUAUACCAUAUUUGAUCCUUAAUAUUUUGAUUACUAUUUGUUUUUUUAAAAAAAAAAAAAAUUAUGAUUGGAAAUUUUACUUCGUGAUUUUUAUUUGUGUUUACCAUUCCGCACGAUAAUCAUAUUCUCAUUAUCUAGAUCAUUGCUUUCGAAUAUUAGCCCAAUUUAAGUUAGGUCUUUUUUUUAUCCUUCACUAAUUUUUUUAUAAUUUUAUCAUUUGACUUUGGGUUAUUGAAGCUUGAGCUUUGUUAUUUGUUCAACUUUUAUUUUUUUGAGUUUAUCACGAUCUAAUAUCUUGGACGGAAGGUUAAUCGAGUUAACUCGAGUUGACUCAAUGUGUUUUUUUCUCAAAUUUUUUUUAAGAAUUUUUUUUUUUAUAUUAUUGACCUUGAGCUUUAUGAUUCUUUCACUUUUUUUAUGUGGGGUCAUUCUGAGUGGAGGUUAGUCAAGUUAACUUAGGUUUUUUCUGACGUUUCUUUUAUUUAACUUUAGUCUUUUAUUCUAGGUCCUUUUAAAAAUAUAUAUAAUUUUUUUUAUCCUGAUCUCAUAUUAUGGAUGAUAAGUUGGUCAAGUUAACCUAAGUUGACUCGGUUUUGUUUUUUGAUGUUACUUUUUCUUAAACUUGAUUUUUUUUUAAUUUUAUCAUUUGACAAUAGGUUAUUAGGCUUUGAGCUUUGUUAUGCUUUUUUUUUUUUACUUUCUUUUCUUCAAGGUAAUCUCGAUCUCAUAUUCUAUGUCACAUAUUGGUUAAGUUAACCUGUAUUGAUUAGGGUUAUCAUCGGCUGCACAUCUUUUAUUAUGUUAGGAAUAACUUCACCAAACCCGCAACGUAGAGCAAAACACCUACCUAUUCACUAUUAAAAAGAGAUUUAUAGUAUAAGUCUCUUUUUAAUAGUGAAUAAAAAGAGAUUUAUAGUAUAAGUAAGAUAAUGUUUGUUUUUACACUUGAGGGCAUAGCUACUGUGGUAAACUGCAAGGCUUGUCUUUGCGAACGUCCCGGGUUCGACCCUCUCUGUGUACCCUGUCACCCCCGCGGUGUCUUACCUGCUCACUGGGCUUGCAAGAUGUUCAGUGGACCUCGGGGAUUAGUUGUGGUGCGCGCAAGCUGGCCCGGACACCCCGAGUUACAAAAAAAAGAGAAGAUAAUGUUUGUUAUUGUGGUUGGACCGCACUUUUUAAAAAAAUUAAUUUUUUUCUUUUAAUUUCAAUUAAUAUUUUUAUAUUUUUAAAUUGUUUUAAUAUAUCUAUAUCAAAAAUAAAAUUUAAUAAAUAAUAAUAAAAUAUUAUUUUAAUAUAUUUUCAAAUAAUAUUUAUUUUAAAAAAUAAUAUUUGAAAAUAACAAUAUUGUAUAAUUACCAUCACCAUACACUUUCACCUUUUACAUUUCUCAAUAAUUACUUGCCAUUUCUUGCUCGCAUCCCGUGCUCUUAGCUAUCCUUGAAACUUUUCCACUUCUUUCUUUGUCAACAUCCAGUUCCUUUGCCUUAGAAAACAAGCUUUGGCUGAAACAUUUUUUUUAUUAAUUUAUGAAUCAUAACAUAUAAAGUGUAAUUUUUAAAAAUAUAAAGGUAAAAUAAAAACAUAAUUAAACUAUAAGAUAUUUUUAUAAUUAUUUCUAAGAAUUAACUGCUAUGGAUGCACUUUGAAACUGCUAUGCUCAUUUGGAAAAAAAGAAAAGAAAAGUAAAUUAUACUCAAAAUCAUAGUUAAUUCUGGCCUAUAAUAAAACAAAUUGAGACUCCAAGUAAAUUUAUGUGUUUGGGUGUGCCUAUAUUUGUAGAAAUUCAUAUAAUCUACUUGUAGAAACUCCUCGUUUAAACACUAGUGUGUAUAAUAAUUUUUUCAAGGCUCAACUAUGUUACUAGCUAGAUUCAUUUGUUAAAUUAUGAAUUAUAUCAACUUCAAGUUUCCCUCGUCAGAUUCUGAUCCUUAAUCUAUGUUUAGAAGUUCAAUCAGGACCAUGUUAUUUGUGAGAAGUCCUCAUAAAACCCAUUUUAUUAUGGUUAGAAAAGGAUAGAAUAGAAGUGUUUCAAGCAGAUAGUGUUGAGGCAAUUUCUUCCUUUCUCUGUCAGUUUAAUCAUAGGCUCGUUAUAUUUCCCUGCACAGAGGGUCAUAUCAGCGCAAGGGAUCGUGGGCUAAACUUUUGGAUGUUGCAUUAUCACUUUGGAUUUUUCGUUUGAUGGUACAACAGAGAACAAAGAGAAAUUUGAGAGUUUUUUUAUACACGCAGUAGACAAAAAUAUUUCACAAAUUAGCACAGUAGUGGAUAAGUACGUUAGCAUAUGAGCAACUAGGCAUGUUUGUGUUUUUCUUGUUGAAUUCAUUUUCAAUGGUAUUUAAAGUUUUAUAAUCAGAAUUAUUUGAGAAAGUAAUUAUUCUUUAUAAAAAUACAUUUUGACUUUUGCAUAGAUAAAUUAUUUGAGAAAGCAAAAACUUCAAUUGAAAAGAAAAAUCAAGGUGGAAUGUUGUCUUCGAAUCACAACCGUGUUGGUUCUUAGAAACUUCAAUAGCUUUAAUACAGGCAUGGCUGGUCAAGUCCGCACCGUGUGGAGCCUAAUGUAAUUCUUCAAAAUUUAAGAGUGUAGAGCCACGCGGGUUGGCAAGCGCGGGAAGAAGACGUUUAGUAACCAACAAGGAAAUUCAAGUUGACAGAUGUUGUCUUCAAAUCACAGGCGUGUUGCUUCUCAGAAACUUCAAUGCUUUAAUAUUUUGAAAAAAUUGAACCACCACUCUAAAAUCACAAAUAUUUGAAAAUAUAAUAACUAUUAAUAACUUUUCUUCCUUUCCCUAUUCAUGUCCAAGAUAGACUAAUAUUUGAUUAUUCCAGAGAGUGAGCAAUUAUUUGGUCCUUCUGCACUUCUCUUUUCCAUAACCAAUCUUGCAUUAUCAUUUGACAGAUUUCGUCUUCCUGUCACAGCCAUGUUCCUUCUCUGAAUCUUCAAUUGCUUUAUUAUAGCCAUAGCUAGUCAAGCUCCACCGUGUGGAGCCUAAUCAAUUUAUUCACAGAAUAGCACAGGUAAAGCCCAUCACCAAACACUUUCACCUUUUCCGUUUCUCAUCUCAAACUGCUCUGUCUUCUCAAUAUUUACUUACUAUUUCUUGCUCACAUCCCCUUCUUUUAGUUAUCCUUACAGCUUUUCUACGUCUUCUUGUCAACAUACAAUUCAUUUCCAUUCGAAACCAAGCUAUGGCUGAUGCAAUUCUUUCUGCUCUCGCGAGUACAAUCAUGGGAACUUGAAUUCCCCAAUUCUUCAAGAGCUUGGAUUGCUGGGGGCCUAACGACAGAGCUUGAAAAUCUCAAGCGCACGUUCAGAACCAUUCAAGCUGUGCUGCAAGAUGCAGAUGAGAAGCAGUGGAAGAGUGAGCCUAUCAAGGUGUGGCUCAGCGACCUCAAGGAUGCAGCUUAUGCUGUUGAUGAUGUACUGGAUGAGUUUGCAAUUGAAGCUCAGUGGCUUCUGCAGCGAAGAGAUCUCAAAAACCGAGUAAGAUCCUUCUUUUCUUUUGGUCAUAAUCCACUAGUUUUUCGACAAAGGAUGGCUCAUAAAUUGAAGAUUGCUAGAGAAAAACUAGAUGCCAUUGCCAAGGAGAGACAAAAUUUCCACCUAACAGAGGGGGGUGUGGAGAUGCAAGCAGAUAGUUUUGUUCAGCGUCAGACUUGGUCUUCGGUGAAUGAAUCAGAAAUUUGCGGAAGAGGCAAGGAGAAAGAAGAACUAGUCAGCAUCCUGCUCGAUAAUGCAGACAAUCUCCCUAUUUAUGCUAUAUGGGGGAUGGGGGGGCUGGGUAAAACAACACUUGUUCAACUGGUCUACAAUGAACAAAGGGUUAAACAACAAUUCGGUUUGAGGAUCUGGGUGUGUGUAUCUACUGAUUUCAAUCUCGGAAGAUUAACAAGAGCCAUCAUAGAGUCCAUUGAUGGUGCCUCAUGUGAUCUUCAAGAAUUGGAUCCCUUGCAACAACGCCUCCAACAAAAGUUAACUGGAAAGAAGUUUUUGCUUGUACUGGAUGAUGUGUGGGAUGAUUGUAUGAUUGGUGGAGUAAAUUGAAGGAGGUAUUAAGGUGUGGAGCUAAAGGUAGUGCUGUCAUAGUAACUACGCGUAUUGAGAUGGUUGCUCGUAAAUGGCAACAGCUUUUGUCAGCACAUGGGGAGAUUGUCUGAAGAAGAUUCUUGGCAUUGUUUCAACAGCUUGCAUUCGGGAUGAGAAGGAAAGAGGAGCGGGCACACCUGGAAGCCAUUGGAGUAUCAAUAGUGAAGAAGUGUGGUGGUGUUCCUUUAGCUAUAAAGGCACUCGGGAACCUAAUGCGGCUAAAAGAUAAUGAAGAUCAGUGGAUAGCUGUCAAAGAAAGUGAGAUUUGGGAUCUAAGAGAAGAAGCAAGCAAGAUCUUACCUGCUUUGAGGUUGAGUUACACUAAUCUAUCACCACAUUUGAAGCAAUGCUUUGCGUAUUGCGCUAUAUUGCCAAAAGAUCACGUGAUGAGGAGGGAGGAGCUGGUUGCUUUGUGGAUGGCAAAUGGCUUUAUUUCUUGCAGAAGAGAAAUGGAUUUGCACGUCAUGGGCAUUGAGAUAUUCAAUGAACUAGUGGGAAGGUCAUUUCUGCAAGAGGUCGAGGAUGAUGGAUUUGGCAACAUAACAUGUAAAAUGCAUGACCUUAUGCAUGAUCUCGCACAAUCCAUUGCAGGACAAGAAUGCUAUAUGAGUACCAAAGGCGAUGGGAAGUUGGAAAUUCCUAAAACUGCCCGUCAUGUUGCUUUUUAUAACAAAUAUGUAGCUUCGUCUUCUGAAGUUCUCAAGGUCCUAUCACUUCGCUCACUUCUUUUGAGGUAUGGGUAUGGAGGGGGAAAGAUUCCUGGUCGAAAACAUCGAGCCUUGAGUUUAAGAUAUAUCUGGGCCAAGAAAUUGCCGAAGUCAAUUUGUGAUUUGAAACAUCUAAGGUAUCUAGAUGUGUCAGGCUCCAGCAAUAUCAAAACACUGCCUGAAAGUAUAACCUCACUCCAAAACCUCCAGACACUAGAUCUGAGAGAUUGCUAUAAACUCAUCCAAUUACCAAAAGGUAUGAAGCACAUGAAAAGUCUUGUCUAUGUUGACAUCACGGGUUGUUAUUCACUUCGAUUUAUGCCUUGUGGAAUGGGGCAAUUGAUAUGCCUGCGAAAACUUCCCUUGUUCAUUGUGGGCUGGGAGAAUGGUCGUUGCAUAAGUGAGCUGGAAGGGCUGAAUAAUCUUGCUGGUGAAUUGAGUAUCAAAAAUCUUGUGAAUGUUAAGAAUUUAAAAGAUGCCAAAAGUGCCAAUUUGAAGUUGAAGACAACUCUUUUAUCACUGACUUUAUCUUGGCUUGGUAAUGGGUCAUUUGUGCCACGGCAACAAAGAAAGAGUGUUAUUCAGGUAAAUAACGAGGAGGUCCUUGAAGGGCUUCAACCUCAUUCAAAUCUGAAGAAGUUGAGGAUAUGUGGAUAUGGAGGUUCAAGAUUUCCUAAUUGGAUGAUGAACUUGAACAUGACGCUACCAAAUCUGGUAGAGAUGGAGCUAUCAUUAGCAUGUGACCACUGUGAACAACUUCCACCAUUGGGAAAACUACAGUUCCUCAAGAGUCUUGUAUUGUGUGGAAUAGAUGGUGUGAAGAGUAUUGACAGCAAUGUGUAUGGAGAUGGGCAAAAUCCAUUCCCAUCUUUGGAGACGCUGACUUUUCAGCACAUGGAGGGAUUAGAGCAAUGGGCUGCGUGUACUUUUCCUCGCCUUCGAGAAUUGAAGAUAGAAUAUUGCCCUGUGUUGAACGAAAUACCAAUUAUACCCUCCAUCAAAUCAGUACACAUCUGGGGAGGUAAUGCUUCGUUGCUGAUGUCAGUUAGGAAUCUCACUUCCAUCACUUCUCUUCAUAUUGAAGGGAUUAACGAUGUGAGGGAGCUUCCCGAUGGGUUUUUGCAAAAUCAGACCCUCCUUGAAAGCUUAGACAUUUGGUGUAUGCGAGAUCUGGAGUCUUUGUCAAAUAGGGUAUUAGAUAACCUUUCUGCUCUUAAAAGCUUGAUUAUUUGGGGUUGCGGGAAAUUUGAAAGCUUGCCAGAGGAAGGUCUUCGUAACCUCAAUUCCUUGGAGGUUUUAGAGAUACAGUUUUGUGGAAGAUUAAAUUGUCUGCCAAUGAAUGGGUUGUGUGGCUUAUCUUCUCUUCGCAAGUUAUUUGUUAUAGAAUGUGAUAAAUUCACAUCUCUAUCGGAGGGAGUGCGGCAUCUGACGGCACUUGAGGAUCUGUACCUUAAUGGAUGUCCAGAGUUGAAUUCAUUGCCAGAAAGUAUCCAACAUCUCACUUCUCUCCGAUCUCUAAAAAUAGGGAACUUCAAGGGAUUAGCUUCUUUGCCAGAUAAGAUUGGAUAUCUCACUUCUCUCCAAUCUCUAAGUAUAUGGAACUGCAAGGGAUUAGCUUCUUUGCCAGAUCAGAUUGGAUAUCUCACUUCUCUCCAAUCUCUAAGUAUAUGGAACUGCAAGGGAUUAGCUUCUUUGCCAGAUCAGAUUGGAUAUCUCACUUCUCUCCAAUCUCUAAGAAUAGAGAACUGCAAGGGAUUAGCUUCUUUGCCAGAUCAGAUUGGAUAUCUCACUUCUCUCCAAUCUCUAUGUAUAGAGAACUGCAAGGGAUUAGCUUCUUUGCCAGAUCAGAUUGGAUAUCUCACUUCUCUCCAAUCUCUAUACAUUCGAGGUUGUCCAAAUUUAAAGAAUAGGUGUAAGAAAGAUUUAGGAGAGGACUGGCCCAAGAUAGCUCACAUCCCUAAGAUUAGUAUCAGUUAAAAUUGAUAUGCAAAAUUUGUAAUGAAAAAUAUUCGCUCGAUUGCCUUUUAUCCAUUUUAUUUUAUUUUGAUAAAAGCGAUCUUCUCAAGUAAAACUUUUUAAACUUAAAUUAAAUAUACAUUGAUCGCACCAUAAAAAUACACAUCGAUUUUGUCCUUUUAAUAAUAUUUUUAUAUUAAUUUAGAAAUUUUUUAAAAAUAAUUAACUUAAUCAAGUUCUUAUUUAAUUUUUCGAGAUUUAGAAAAAUAAUCUUUGUAUUAAUUAUAUUGUAGUCGUUAAUUUUUAAAAUAUAUUUUAAUCAAGUCAUACUUAAUUAAUCAUUCCAGUUUAAUUUCUACCUAAAGAUUUUUAAUGUGUGUUACUAUUAAGUUUCUAAAAUGUUGGUUCAAAUAUAAAUUAUAAUUAAAUAAAAAUAAAUUAAUUAAAUAAUUUAUUUUAUUAUCAAUUCAAAUAAUUAAUUAAUUUAUAUUUGAAAACAAGGUGUAUCAUCUAUUAACAUGUCUUGAUUUUUUAAAUAUUAUAAAAAUCAUUAGUGGUUUGAUUUAACUUUUUAGUGACAAGUUUCUCAGUGUAAUUAAUGUCAUUUCAUCAAUAAUAUUUUGAUUUAACAUUAAAGCAUGGAGUAUGUUUGUCAUGUUAAAUCAUGUUUAUUCUCUACAUAAUAGUCAUUGAUUGUUAAGAUAAGAUUUAGAACUAUUUUCAAAUUUCAUUCUACCUUAAUUAAGAAUUUCUUAUUUAAUACUAUUUGAGAACAAAUAAAAUAUAUAUAUUUUUAAUUCAUCUUGGGUGAUGAAUCCUCUCUUUACAACUUAAGUAUCAUUUUAUUUUAAUUUUAAGAAUAGUGAAGUGACAUAAUUGUCUUUAAAAUAAAAAUAUAUAUAAAUAUGGUUCCAAAGGGGGGUUUUGUUAUUUUUGUUAUAUAUUUUUUAUAUUUUUAGGUUGACCUAAUGGCUGUUUGGUAAUUUUAAAAAAUAAAUACUAUAAAAAAACUGUUGACAUGUGCAACUCACGUGUUAGCACAUGCAAGGUCGUUUGGUGACCAAAAUCAGUCAUCUAUUAUGAUGUUUGGAGUGGCGCAUUGUUCGCUCCAUAUUGGCGAGAUGCGUGUUAACGAUAGAGGUGUGAUUGGGCUCUAAUGAGUUGUUUCUUUUCUUUUCUUCUCUGUUUUUUUUCUCUUAACUUAGAAAUUCAUGUCAACCCUUUCAAAAAUUGAUUAUGUCCUCUAGUUUCUAUUUUUAUUAAUUUUAGUUCUCAUUUUUUUUAUUGUUAUUUUUUAAUUUUUUCUUAUUUUAUUUUAUUUUUCAAUUUAAUCCCUAAUUAUUAUUUUUAUUUGGAUUUUAUACCAUAUUUGAUCCUUAUUAUUUUGAUUACUAUUGUUUUGUUUUAAAAAAAAUUUAUGAUUGGAAAUUUUACUUCAUUAGUUUUUUUUGUGUUUACUUUUCUGCACGGUAAUCAUAUUCUCAUUAUCUUGAUCAUUAGUUUUGAAUAUUAGCCCAAUUUAAGUUAGGUCCUUUUUUUUUAUCCUUUACUAAUUGUUUUUUUCAAUUUCAUCAUUUGACAUUGGGUUAUUGGAGCUUGAGCUUUGUUAUAUGUUCAACUUUUAUUUUUUUUGAGUUUAUAUCGAUCUUCUAUCUUGGGUGAAAGGUUAGUCAAGUUAACCUAAGUUGACUAAAUGUUUUUUUCCUUGAAUUAUUUUUAAGAAAUUGUUUUUUUUUUUGUUAUUGACCCUUGAGCUUUGUGAUUCUUUCACAUUUUUUAUGUGGGGUCAUCCUAAGUGCAGGUUAGUCAAGUUAACUUGGGUUUUAUCUGAUGUUUCUUUUAUUUAACUUUAGUAUUUUAUUCUAGGUCCUUUUCAAAAAUAUAUAUAAUUUUUUUUUAUCCUGAUCUCAUAUUAUGAAUGGUAGGUUGGUCAAGUUAACCUAACUUGACCUAAGUUUUUUUUUUUCGAUGUUACUUUUUUUUAAAAUUGAUUUAAAAUUUUUUUUUUUCAUUUGACAUUAGGUCAUUAGGCUUUGAGCUUUGUUAUGUUUUUUUUUUUUGUGAUUUUUUUUUCUUCAAGGUAAUCUUGAUCUCAUAUCAUGUGUUGCAUGUAUAGUCAAGUUAACCCGCGUUGAUUGGGGUUAUUAUUUCUUAGACAUCUUUUAUUGCAUGAGAAAAAAACUUAACCACACCCGCAACGUAGCGCCAAACACCUACCUAUUCACUAUUAAAAAGAUAUUUAUAGCAUAAGUAAAGACGUGUGUUUUUAUGGUUAGACUAUACUUUUUACAAAAUUUAAAUUUUUUCUUUUGCUUUCAAUUAAAUUUUUUAAGCUUUUGAAUUGUUUUAAUAUUUUUAUAUCAAAAAUAAAUUCUAGAAAAUAAAAUUAUUUUAAUGUAUUUAAAAAAUUAUUCUCUGUUAAGAAACAUUGUAUAAUUACCAUCACCAAACACUUAUGAAUGGCAGGGUGUGCCUAUAUUUGUAGAAAUUCAUAUAAUCUAGUUGUAGAAACUCAUCGUUUAAACACUUUUCUGUUUAAUAAUCUUUUCAAGCCUCAACUAUGUUACUAGAUUCAUUUGUUAAAUUGUGAAUUAUAUCAAGUUCAAGUUUCCCUCUUGUCAGAUUUUGAUCUUUAAUCUAUGUUUAGAAGUUCAAUCAGGACCAUGUUAUUCAUAGAAUUACCGGUAAGGUACGUAGCCUAUAUUUGUGAGAAGUCCUCGGAAUACCCAUUUUAUUAUAGUUUAUGUUGUACGUGUGCAGUGUCGCGGCGAUCAUCCUCUCUCAAGUUUAUGUAUUUAUCUAGUAAAUGUGGAGAGACAAGAAAUUCUUAUCUUUUAUCCAUGAAAAGCGUGAAUGAGAGUCGUCACUUAGUAUUUUGGUCACUAGAAACCCUAACUGGUCUCAGAGAUUGGACACGAGAACUGGUUGCAUAAAUGAAGUGUAUUAGCACCCAAAUAUGUCAUACCUAAGGUAAGAUGUAUUGUUUAAUUGUCUGAUAAAAACUAAGAACUUGUCGUGUUUUUUAAUUGUUGGUUCGUCUAUGAUUUAAGAAAAGUUUUUAUCGGUGAGGAGAUCUUUAUCUCAUUAGGUAAAAACUAACCGUUCUAACAUCAAUAAAAAAUUUAAUAUCCAGAAUAUGUCACUACUAAAAAAUGUAGUGAUUAGUAACGGACUGGUCCGUUGCAAAUAAUACUAAAAUUCGUUGCUAAAACUAUUUAGCAACGAAAUCAGCAACGACAAAUAUCGGAUGCAGAUUUGCCGUUGCUGAUUUUUUAGCAACGAAUUUAUCCGUUGCUUACAAUUAGCAACGGAUAAUCCGAUGCUAACAGACAGCAAUGGAUAUUCCGUUGCAAUUUUAGUAACGGAUAUUCCGCUGCUAAUUCAUUAAAUGUGUAAAAAUAAUUGAUUCAUGAUUUUUUUUAUUUGGUUAAAACUGGUUUUAUGAUUGUUAUAAGUUUUUUUCCCUUAAAAAACAAUACUUCCCAUAAACUAAAUUAUAUAUAAAAAAUAUGAAUAAGAAAAUUAGAUUUUUUUUAUAGAAUAAGUUUUCUAUUACUUUAAAUGACUUCAUCAACUUUGCAAUUAAACACAUACUUAAAAGACCAAUAUUGACUUUAUUAUAAUAAAAGUGGAUGUAUCAUUGAAGUUCCCGUGCUAUUAAAAAAUAUUCGCUCGAUUACAAACAAUACAAUUUAUUACAAAACAUGGAGACGGCAAUUUGAGAGCAUCAAUACAAACAAUAAAUUUAUUACAAAACAAUGGAGGCUUCAACUUAGCACGGCUAGAGCAUACAGACAACUUGAGUAAUAAUUCAAGAAUAUUGUCAUUUAACAAAAGCUUUAAAAUGUUUUAUGAAAUGAAGAUCAACUUAACAAAAGUUUCAAAUAUAAAAUGAUGAUUGUUCACAAUAUCACUUGUGAGAUAUACAUAAAAAAUAUAAAAAAAUUCACAUUAAACUAGCUUUAAUGAAACUAUUUUUUUUAUAACAAACAAUUAAUUUAUUAAUAAAACAACCUUUCGGAUAAUAACCGAGAGAAAUAUAAUGAAUUUUAAAAAAUUAAAAAAAAAAAUAUAUAUAUAUACACACACUAACCAACAAGCAAAGUCAAGUUGAUGAAUGUUGUCUUCAAAUCAUACCCAUGUUGCUUCUCUGAAAGUUAGCUAGUCAAGUAUGUAGCUAGUCAAAUCUUACUGUUCUUAAAAUUAAAUAAAAAGAUAUUUAAAUGGUAAAGAGAGGAUUCAUCACCCUAGAUGAAUAAAAAAAUAUAUAUAAAAAUAAAAAAAAAUAACCCCCCCCCCUCCAUAUCCUCACAUUAUUGUUUUGCUUUUGCAUGACUAAAGAUUUUUCCUUUUACUGUUGGAUGGGGUCAAAGAUGGUUGCCCAGCAGUGGAGAAUGCAACACCAUCAAAUUCUUUCCAGCAUUCAUGAGCCUUACUUUGGAGCUUAUUGGGCGCUAUGUUCUGCCUGAUAGAUUUGUUUGCCGAUAAUGUAUCGCCACUUGGACCUUAGGUACUGUUAAAUUUUGUUUUGCCGCGAGCUCAUUUGCCUAGAAUACAUGCAAUUCCACGUACUUGGUUUCCCUUGGCCGCUAUAUUAUGGAUGCACAUUACAAGGCAUGCCUGUAUGCAGGCAUCAACACUAGUGGUAUCAACGGAGAAGUGAUGUCAGGCCUAGAAUACAUGCAUCUCUUCUACCAUUUUGAUCUUAUUAUUCUAGUUUAGAACCAUUCUCAUCUUGUUCUCCAAUUUCUAUUGUUUUCUGAAAGGUCUAUAUUUAUGUUAACAGAGGAUUACUGUUUUCAUUGUACCUUCAUUUGAUCCAAAGCCAAUUCAGGUCAGUUUUUAUUUCUUUGUACCUUAAUGGAUGCUGCAAGUGUGCAUGUUUUCAAUACUUUUAUUGUUUGAACUCUCAAGAAAUUGGACUUUUGUUUUGUCAAGGAGAUUGGAAAGGAGCGGGGGCACACACAAAUGACAGGUACAAUUUUGCAUCAUUGAUUGAAACUUAACUUGUUUGCUUCUUUAUUCCACCCUCAUGAUUAUUAUUUUUGUCUUCUACUUGAAAAUUCUUCACAUUUUCAAUACUAAGUCAAUCAGAAAUGAAAUAGGCUAUGAAGUCAUCAAGAAAGCAAUUGAAAAGCUUGGUCUGAGGCAUAAAGAACGUAUUUCAGCUUAUGGAGAAGGGAAAGAGCAGAGACUCACCGGAUGACACGAAACAGCUGAUAUUAGUACUUUCAAAUGGGUAAGAGGAAAAUAAAACAAUUUCCUUGCUGCGACACACAGAAAGAUGUCUUGUAUUAAUUUUGUUACAUCUUGUGCGAUUGACAGGGUGUUGCUAAUCGCAGGCUGCCUUUCAUGUUUGCCCCAACACAAAGAAAGAAGGAAAGGGGUGCUUUGAGGACAGAAGGCAUGCUUCAAACAUGGAUCCAUAUGUUGUGACUUCCAUGAUUGCAGAAACCACCAUCCUUCGGAAGCCAAGAGACCAUCAACCAACCUCUAAUAUGAAAUAUUGUUUUUAGUAGUCUGUCCAAGGAACCGUAGAAAGAUCUCUGUCAUCAGGAUGGAUAUCUUUCAGUUUGUUUCCCUCUGUAUUUGAAGCAGCAACUGAUGUUAUUGCUUUGUUUGCUUGCCUUAUGAUUCUGCAUUUUGUGUUGAAUAAUGUAAGGCUUACUUCCCGGAAAUGGGUUAAAAAGAUUUUACUUUGAUGAAAUGCAGAUCACAUCUCAAGUUGUGACAGGGCUUUAUCUUCAUCUAAAGUAAACUAUAUGUUGGUUUGUAAAGGUUUAAAUUUCUUCAAGAUCAAUGCACUUUGAUAAGAGCAUGAAACGUAGAUGGUUAGAUUUUGCUUCUUUUUUCUUGAUUUUAUAGCCCCCAAGGACCUAUAAAAUACACUUACGGCAUAAUAUGAUUUAUCUAACUUGAAAUCUCGUAGCUAUUUGUCCCUUGAACCCAUGGUUAUAGAAAGAAUGUCACAAGACUUGCCAAAUAGAGAAUGUGAGGAUAUCCCUAGAGUUAAGGAAAGAUGGUAAAAGGGAUAUCCCUAGAGUUGCAGAAGUUAAAAACCACAUCCUACUUUCAGAUUUCAGUUCUUCCAAUAGAAAAAAUCUAUUUAAUUGUUAAAAUCUCCAAUAACCUAGAGUUAAGGAAAGAAGGUAAAAAGGAUUCCACUAUGAAUGUGAGAACCAUGCAGUGUCUUUAUUUAUUUCAACUUUUACCUCCAUACAAAUGAAUAUAAAGACAUUCAAUCCUUGUCUUUCAAGGGUUUUAACUAAACAGCUGAAAACAAAGGCAAAAAUGCAAAGUUUUCUUCUAACAACAUUGUAUACAACAUACACUCAAUCAUCAAUCAUGGUGUAAAUGUGAUUCUGAUGAAACACAAUGAGCCCAAAAAUGUAAUGCCUAUUACCAAUACAGAUUACAUAAAAUCAACAUCAUCAAGAGCAUCAUAGGGAUUAACCACCAAAUCAUCGUCGGGCUUAUCAACAUGAAGCUGUUUUUUCUUCCCAGCUGCAAGGAAUGAAUAAAAAGCAAGGUGUUAUAUUCAUUAACAUUCUAAAUUGUAAUAUCUUCAGUACAACUGGUGAGAAUUCAGUAUCUGGUGGUUGCAUAUGGGUUUCCUCGAAAAGAGUAAUGAAAUCUUAGCAGAAGGUGCAUGUACAACACGAGUGCUGAAAAUUGUACUUUUUCUGAACCAAUGAAUUCCAUUUAACUAGCGUUCCAAAUCCAUGACUCAAGAAACAUAAAGUUUCAAAAUGUCUAAGAAUCUUACUGAUGCUUACUAUGAAAAAUAAGUGGAAUCAUGUACCUUGCUUCUUUUUGCUAACGUUGGCUUCUUUCUCAGCUUUUAUCUUUUCAUUUGCAAUUGCACUCACAGAAGCCGAAACUUCUUUUGCAUCUGCAGCUUUCAUGGCAGUCAUGGACAGUCUCAUUAUUGCCUUAAGUAAACCGAUAUAAUGGUAACUUUUCUGCAUUAGAGAAUGUUUUUUUUUUUUUCACCAUGUCAAAAACUGCACCAACCGUUUACUAUCAACAUACUAAAGCUAAUUCAACACACCUCAAAUGAGCGAAGCUUAUGUGAAAUAAGUUCUGCAUAUAUAUUCCAAGAAGUCACUUUCAGAUUUUGGUAUGAAACUAUCAAGCGAUUUCUCAUCACCUUUCUUAGCAAACAGUUCUGUAGUGGAUCUGAAAUCAGCUUCUUCCACCAGCCUAUAUAAUUGAGUAAAUCUUUAAGAAACCAUUGCUUAAAGGAAAAGGCAAACAAAAAACUUAUAAAUUGAAACAAGUCAAAACAAAACAUGCCUACUGCAAAUCAACAUAAUUAAAAUCAUGCUGCCAAACAACAUUUAACCAAACCCAACAUGAUCAGAACAAAACCUCAAGGACACUAUUAGUUGAAACAGGUUUUGUUAAGAGAUCAUACUAUCAUAAUAAUUAAAAAAAUAUCAUCAUCUAAAUGGUUAAGCAUUGAGAAAAUUUUCUUUUUUUCAUAUAUUUGUAAAGCAGCAAAAAGACAUAGGCAGCCAACCCUCAGUAUAGAACAAUUAAAAGAGGCAACUCAAGGAAGGUGAAAAUCUUAUACAAAAGAAACAGCAGCAAUAGCUUAGUCCUGACAUUCCUCACAUUAAAGUUGUAAAAAUGCUCAGAGAAACAUGAACAAUUAAAUAUACUCUAUCAUCAUAAAAGCUUACUAUAUUGUUUUCCCAUUGCAAAAUCAUAAACAUCUACAAUUUGAAGUCUCUAAAUUGCAGCAGAAGAUCUAACACGGUUUCCCUUAGAAGGAGCUAGGUAGAUCAUUCAUGGAGUAGCAUGACACUGGAGUUUUUAACUUUUAUUCCCACAUCCAGAUGCUUCAUUUAUGUUUUGAUUAACAUUUAUAAGUAAAGCUAUGAUUAGAUUAGAAUUCACUUCCUACAAGAAAUAUUAAUAACCUUGUCAUAAAAAUCUUGUUAGGUUGUUUCCAGAACAGGUAUUUUAAUUUCCCAAAAAGAGGUAAAGAAACAUGACAAAGAAAAACAGAAUAAUGUGUUUCCUAGCAAAUCCUCAACUUCAAUUCGUCUUCCAUCUAUUCCAGUUUAGCAAAAACAAAUUCCCUUCAGUUGCAUCCAAUUUGUUACAGGUGGAAAAAAAUUAUCAAAUUGUACUUGGAUUAUUUUUCAGAAGUCAUUGCCACAUGGAGCAAUUAUGAAACAGAAAAUCAAGGACACAUAAGCUAGAUGCGAUGUAUAAAAUUAUUAUGAAUUGUUCAUACUUCAAAUUUUUAGCGGAGAAAAAAACUGCAUAUUGAGUACCUUUGCUGGCGAAGUUUCUCAGCUAGUGGAUCUAGUUUCAAGUUCCGAAUCCCUUUAAUCUUCAAAUAAAAUAUAUUCUGGCUAUAAUAAAAUAAAAUAACAUUCCUAAUCAAAUCUACCAUAGAAGUAGGCCUUCCAUGGAGAAGGACCACAGGCUUUGAUGGUGGCUCCAUUUUCUACCUUUUAAAAUUGCUCGGCUCAGCCCAACUAUCACCAACACCAUGUAACUAACUUAAUUUCGCGCCAAUCCUCAAAAUCAACGGCCCCCCUAGUCUCAGUUCCCGCCGUCCAGUUCUCCACACCAAAUCUGUCCAAGGUCACUCGCUGUUCCCCUCAAUCUCUCAUGCACAUUCAUAUGCAUGGAUGGAAUUAGGGUUUAGGUCGCUGUAAUAGUUUAGUUUUCAGGCUGAAAUGUAAAAAAGACCGCUUUGAUUUCACUUUCAUGUAUUAUAAACUCAUUUGACUUGUUCAAGAAAUCGGAUUUGAGGUGGGUUUUAUACAAUUUUCCGAGAUUAACUUCUUGUUUUUGUGUGUUUCUGGUUUGUUAAUUGUGGUUGUUGAUGGAAGUAAUUGGUAAUGUAGUUUAUGUAUUUAUAGAAAGUCUCCACUCAACACGUUCAUUGAUUGUUUCAAACUUGAGCAAAUCAUAUCCAUUGCUGACUGUUUGAUGGCUAACCACUAGUCUUGUUUAAUAAUUUUUUCAAGGAUUUUAAAUAAUCUCUCACUCUCUGCCUGUCUCUCAACUCUUUUUGAGCCUUCGAAUAGAAGAGUCUGCAUUCAUUUACUUGAGAUAUGUAUAGGCAUGGAAGCCCCAUUCAGCUGACAGAUAAUUGCCACUAUAGAGACCAUUACUCUAUUGAAACCCAUUUCAUUACCACAACGUGUUACCUGUUCCAUCUUAGUUCAUUGUUAUUUAAUUCUAAAAAAAAUGAUAGAUAUGCGUCUUUAAUAUAAGAUUGCAAUUAUAUACUAAAUUACAAUGAUCCGUCCGUGCUCGAUGCGAUAUUUCUGGUAUCAAUUAACAAAUAAGAUAUUGAGGAUUCUAGGCAAAUUGAAUUAUUAUUCCAAUAGACCCUAGAAAAUUUCAGGAUGUAAUAGUUGAUUUAGUGGCUAAUACUUGAUAGGGCAUAAUCACCGAUUUAGUUUUAGAAGUAGUGUUGAUUUUUCAGUCUUCUUCCUCUUCUUUUCCCUAGCUAACUUCUGUCAUCUAUUGCAAGGACUUUGGAAAUCAAUGUCAACUUUGAUGUUGAUAGCCUGCUGCAAUGCCACAAACACCAGCCCCGCCGCAAUCAACUAGACCAUCUCGUUCUAGAAGAUGGCUAGGCACAAACUCUUCUGAUUAAGAAGACUCGCCAACCACUGCUGUGCAGCCUGCUCCUCCCACUAUAGGCAGCUGAUCACAGAUGGCUAGCAGGACUGCUGCCCUGACCAAGAUGACUGUCAAUGCAACCAUUAGGAAUUGCUGAAUAUGAUGAAGAGGAAGAAGAUUCUGAGGUUACAUCAGGGGAAGAUUCGUAUGACUGUCCAUUAUGCUGAAUGAGCAUUUUACAGAUUUUCCUUGCAAAUAUCGUGCUUUCUCAACACUAUAAUCUGUUGUAUUCUUGUUGUCUUUGUUAAUGGAAGUUAGAUAGGUUCGGUAGCUCUUUUGUAGUGUUCAUUUUACUUUGGGGGUGAUGGACAUCCUGCCAGUAAAAUCACCUCUAAACUACUUGUGUGAAUCUUAAUUCAUCUAUGAGGUUGAAGUAAGUUCUCAUGAGUUUUCCAGGGUUGUACAUUUGCCCAAGCUUCUCAUUUCGAGGUCAAUUUAGGUGUUUUUUUGUUUACGCAGCUGCAGCUGCUUUUAAAGCAAACUAUGUAUACAAUACAUUUGGUAAUAAUAAAACAUGAAUUAUUGUAUUCAUGGUGCCCGUUAAAAAUGCUGGUUUGUGAGAAGCAACUCUCGGCUGCUUCUCACCCGGCCGCGUCUAAUGCCCAGGUGAAUUGAUUCACCUGGACUGUUCAUGUCAAGGGCACUGUUCACUUCUUGAAGUGACCAGUGCCUAGGUGAAUUAAUUCAUGAAAAAUAUUAUUUAAAAAAUUAGAAGGAGAUCGUUUAAUGACGUAAUAAAAAAUUUAGUUUUUAUUAUUGCAUACUUAAGAAACCAUGAAAAAUAUAGUCCUUGUUUGGUAGAUUUUGUAUGUGAUGAAAUUGUAUAUAGUUUAAUGAAAUAAUAAAAAAUAUUUAAUAUUAAUAUUAUUUAUUUCAUGAUGUAAUAACAGUAGUUAAAUCUAUAAUAUUUAAAUUAAAAGCCAUCAAUAUAUAUAUAUAUAUAUAUAUAUAUAUAUAUAUAUAUAUAUAUAUUAUUUUAUAAUCUUAAUUUGAAAAGCAUUUUUUUAACCAAACACAUUAAACUACUUUUUAUUUAACCUCAAUUUCAAUUAUAAUUUUAACUAAACAUAUAUUUUUUCAAAUCAACCUCAACUAAAAAUACUUUUUAUAAAAUAAUUUUUUUUUAAACUACAACUAUAAUAGCUAUCACAAUAUCAAACAUACUUUUAAUUUAUAUUUUUAUGUACAUGUGGCCAUGACAUUUCAAGGGAUCGUGGGCUGAACUUUUGGAUGUUGCAUUAUCACUUUGGGUUUUUCUUUUGAUUGUACAAGAAAUUUGAAAGCACAAUCCAUAUGUUGCAUUAUCACUGUGGGUUUUUCUUUUGAUUGUACACCAAUGAACAAAGAGAAAUUUGAAAGCACAAUCCAUAGUUUGCAUUGUCACUUUGGGUUUUUCUUUUGAUUGUCAUAUGUUGCAAGCAGAAGUCACAGCUCACACCCACAAGGACAAGUUAAAGGUAGCUAGAUAGGCUUGUAGCCGGAAUCAGGGAAGUUCCUACACAGCAAUGAAACCAAGCCUUAUUCUCCUACUAAUAACUCGCUUAAAACCCCUCCCUCCUCCGGGAAGUUCCUACAUCUCACACGGGCAAACUUGCACCACAGUUUUGAAACCAAGCAUAGGAUGAAACGAAGAACGAAAGAGGCAUAAAAAAUUGCACCACAGUUUUGAUCAGAUCUUUUGCGAUGUUUGGAUAUAAAAGUGAAGGGUACAUUGCCUCUUGGUUGCAUAAUUUCUUAGUGGAGAGACACCUAAAGGACGUUCUUGACUUUAGGGAGUUUAUAAAAUCAACCCCACAAUCUUAUCUUUUCUUGAUUUGUCAAGUCUACAACGUGUGAAACCUACGCGGAUUGGCCAGUGCGGGACAAAGACAUUUACUAACCGACAAGCUAAUUCAAGUUGAUAAUGUUGUCUUCAAAUCAUAGCCAUGUUACUUCUCUGAAACUUCAAUAGCUUUAGUAUAGGCAUAGCUAGUCGAGUCUGCACUGUGUAGAGCCCAAUCAAUAUAUAGUUAGAGGACUGCAGUUUUAAUAUUUUAAUAUAAUUAAAACCACCACAUUAUUUACAAUUACAUUACCAAAAGAAAAACAAUUAAAAGCUAGCAGUAAAACACUCUGAUGCAAGAAACAUUUACACUUUUAGUAUUUUUAAAAAAACUAACAAGUUUCUUCUAAUCGGGUAAAAUCAACUUUUCAACUGAUCAAUUAUGCAUUACAAAAUCGAGUGGUAACAAAUUAGUCCAUACACUUUUUUUUUUAUCCAUGGUGAAAUGAGUUUAUUGUUGAGUUUUCCAAAAAAAAAUAUACACGUAGUAAUAAAAACAGUAAAAUAAAAUUAUUUAGAAGUCUCAAGUAUCUCGUUAGAUAAAUAUAAAAUUGUUUAGGAAUUUAUUACUUAAAGAUAUGAUCUUCUUUAACUUUAAAUAAUUAUUUAAAGGUUAAGUUAUCACAAACUAUAAAUUAUAUAAUUAUCUGGCAUCCAACGGUAAUCUAUACGGACCACCAAUGAAAAAUCUUUUAAAUUCCUAUUUAGAAGAGAAAUUGUUAUAUUUAGAGGUGUGUGUUCACGGUAAAGGUGCGGUUGGGUUCCAAUAAGCUUUUUUAUUAUUAUUUUAUUAUCUCUUCUCUUUCUUUUAGCUUAAAAAUUCAUGUGUCCUUCCAAAAAUUGAUUGUGUCCUCUAGUUUCUAUUUCUAUCAAUUUUAAUUCUCAUUCUUUUGAUAACUAUUUGUUUUGUAUUUAAUACUUUUUGAACUUCUUUUUUUUAAAAAAAAAUCAGACAUUUUGUUUCAUUUAGUUUUUGUAUCCAAUUUAGUUCUCAUUCUUUGAUUUUUUUUUUUGUGUUUUACUAUUUUCUUGAUUUGUUUUUAUUUUAUUUUUUUCCUUCAUCAUUUUAUUCCCUUUAAUUGUUUUUAUUCAAGUUUGAUCCUCAUUCUUUUUAUCUAUGUAUUCUUAUUAUUUUCUUGAUUUAACCCUCAAUAUUUUAUUUUAUUUUAUUUCUUUAUCAAAUAAUGGUUCCCAUUCUUUUUAUUGCUAUUUUUAUUUUUAUUUUUUUUCAAUUUAAUCCCAAAUUAUUUUUUUUCAUUUGGUUUUUAUACCAUAUUUGAUCCUUAAUAUUUUGAUUACUAUUUGUUUUUUUUUUUUAAUUAUGAUUGGAAAUUUUACUUCAUGAUUUUUAUUUGUGUUUACCAUUCCGCACGAUAAUCAUAUUCUUAUUAUCUAGAUCAUUGGUUUCGAAUAUUAACCCAAUUUAAGUUAGGUCUUUUUUUUAUCCUUUACUAAUUUUUUUUUAUUUUAUCAUUUGACUUUGGGUUAUUGAAGCUUGAGCUUUGUUAUUUGUUCAACUUUUAUUUUUUUGAGUUUAUCACGAUCUAAUAUCUUGGACGAAAGGUUAAUCGAGUUAACCCGAGUUGACUCAAUGUUUUUUUUCUCAAAUUGAUUUUAAGAAUUUUUUUUAUAUUAUUGACCUUGAGCUUUAUGAUUCUUUCACUUUUUUUAUGUGGGGUCAUUAUGAGUGCAGGUUAGUCAAGUUAACUUAGGUUUUUUCUGACGUUUCUUUUAUUUAACAUUAGUCUUUUAUUCUAGGUCCUUUUAAAAAAUAUAUAUAAUUUUUUUUUAUCCCGAUCUCAUAUUAUGGAUGAUAAGUUGGUCAAGUUAACCUAAGUUGACUCAGUUUUGUUUUUUGAUGUUACUUUUUCUUAAACUUGAUUUUUUUUUAAUUUUAUCAUUUGACAAUAGGUUAUUAGGCUUUGAGCUUUGUUAUGUUUUUUUUUUUUUUACUUUCUUUUCUUCAAGGUAAUCUCGAUCUCAUAUCCUAUGUCACGUAUUGGUCAAGUUAACCUGUAUUGAUUAGGGUUAUCUUCGACUGCACAUCUUUUAUUGUGUUAGGAAUAACUUCACCAAACCCGCAACGUAGAGCAAAACACCUACCUAUUCACUAUUAAAAAGAGAUUUAUAGUAUAAGUAAGAUAAUGUUUGUUUUUGUGGUUGGACCGCACUUUUCAAAAAAAUUAAUUUUUUUCUUCUACUUUCAAUUAAUAUUUUUAUAUUUUUAAAUUGUUUUAAUAUAUCUAUAUCAAAAAUAAAUUUUAAUAAAUAAUAAUAAAAUAUUAUUUUAAUAUAUUUUCAAAUAAUAUUUAUUUUAAAAAAUAAUAUUUGACAAUAACAAUAUUGUAUAAUUACCAUCACCAUACACUUUCACCUUUUACAUUUCUCAAUAAUUACUUGCCAUUUCUUGCUCGCAUCCCGUGCUUUUAGCUAUCCUUGAAACUUUUCCACUUCUUUCUUUGUCAACAUCCAAUUCCUUUGCCUUAGAAAACAAGCUUUGGCUGAAACAUUUUUUUUAUUAAUUUAUGAAUCAUAACAUAUAAAGUGUAAUUUUUAAAAAUAUAAAAGGUAAAAUGAAAACAUAAUUAAACUAUAAGAUAUUUUUGUAAUUAUUUAUAAGAAUUAACUGCUAUGGAUAAUGCACUUUGAAACUGCUAUGCUCAUUUGGAAAAAAAAAAAAAAAAAAAGUAAAUUAUACUCAAAAUCAUAGUUAAUUCUGGCCUAUAAUAAAACAAAUUGAGACUCCAAGUAAAUUUAUGUGUUAGGGUGUGCCUAUAUUUGUAGAAAUUCAUAUAAUCUACUUGUAGAAAACUCCUCGUUUAAACACUAGUGUGUAUAAUAAUUUUUUCAAGGCUCAACUAUGUUACUAGAUUCAUUUGUUAAAUUAUGAAUUAUAUCAACUUCAAGUUUCCCUCGUCAGAUUCUGAUCCUUAAUCUAUGUUUAGAAGUUCAAUCAAGACCAUGUUAUUUGUGAGAAGUCCUCAUAAAACCCAUUUUAUUAUGGUUAGAAAAGGAUAGAAGUGUUUCAAGCAGAUUGUGUUUAUUAGAUUCUGAACCUGCAAUAAUCUUGACCACAGUUAUCCACAGUUAUUCUCUGUCAGUUUAAUCACAGGCUCGUUAUAUUUCCCUGCACAGAGGGUCAUGUCAGCGCAAGGGAUCGUGUGCUAAACUUUUGGAUGUUGCAUUAUCACUUUGGAUUUUUCGUUUGAUGGUACAACAGAGAACAAAGAGAAAUUUGAGAGUUUUUUUCUACAAAAAUAUUUCACAAAUUAGCACAGUAGUGUAUAAGUACAUUAGCAUAUGAGCAACUAGGCAUGUUUGUAUUUUUCUUGUUGAAAUCAUUUUCAAUGGUAUUUAAAGUUUUAUAAUAGAAUUAUGGUGUCUCUUCAACGCUUAAUUCUUUCUUCUUCUUCUUCUUUUUUUUCCCUUCUCUCUUUAAAGUUUUAUAUUAUUUUUAUUUUUUUUUCAUGCAAUUUUGGAUCUUUAUAAAAUUACAUUUUGACUUUUGCAUAGAUAAAUUAUUUGACAAAGAAAAAACUUCAAUUGAAAAGAAAAAUCAAGUUGGCGAAUGUUGUCUUCAAAUCACAGCAGUGUCUGCACCGUGUGGAGCCUAAUCAGUGUAGUUAAAAGACACCGGUUUUAUUAUUUUGAUAAAAUUGAAGCAUCACUCUCAAAUCACAAAUAUUUGAAAAUAUAAUAACCUUCUCUAUUCAUGUCCAAGAUAGACUAAUAUUUGAUUAUUCCAGGGAGUGAGCAAUUAUUUUGUCCCUGUGCACUUCUCUUUUCCAUAACCAAUCUUGCGUUUUCAUUUGACAGAUUUCGUCUUCCUGUCACAGCCAUGUUCCUUCUCUGAAUCUUCAAUUGCUUUACUAUAGCCAUAGCUAGUCAAGCUCCACCGUGUGGAGCCUAAUCAAUUCAUUCACAGAACAGCACAGGUAAAGCCCAUCACCAAACACUUUCACCUUUUCCGUUUCUCAUCUCAAACUGCUCUGUCUUCUCAAUAUUUACUUCCUAUUUCUUGCUCACAUCCCCUUCUUUUAGUUAUCCUUGCUUCUACUUCUUAUUGUCAACAUCCAAUUCAUUUCCAUUCGAAACCAAGCUAUGGCUGAUGCAAUUCUUUCUGCUCUCGCGAGUACAAUCAUGGGGAACUUGAAUUCCCCAAUUCUUCAAGAGCUUGGACUUGCUGGGGGCCUAACGACCGAGCUUGAAAAUCUCAAGCGCACGUUCAGAACCAUUCAAGCUGUGCUGCAAGAUGCAGAGGAGAAGCAGUGGAAGAGUGAGCCUAUCAAGGUGUGGCUCAGCGACCUCAAGGAUGCAGCUUAUGUUGUUGAUGAUGUACUGGAUGAGUUUGCAAUUGAAGCUCAGUGGCUUCUGCAGCGAAGAGAUCUCAAAAAUCGAGUAAGAUCCUUCUUUUCUAGCAAACAUAAUCCACUUGUUUUUCGACAAAGGAUGGCUCAUGAAUUGAAGAAUGUUAGAGAAAAACUAGAUGCCAUUGCCAAGGAGAGACAAAAUUUCCACCUAACAGAGGGGGUUGGAGAUGGAAGCAGUUUUGUUCAGCGUCAGACUUGGUCUUCGGUGAAUGAAUCAGAAAUUUAUGGAAGAGGCAAGGAGAAAGAGGAACUAGUCAACAUCCUGCUCACUACUUCAGGUGAUCUCCCUAUUUAUGCUAUAGGGGGAUGGGGGGCUGGGUAAAACAACACUUGUUCAACUGGUCUUCAAUGAAGAAAGUGUUAAACACAAUUCAGUUUGAGGAUCUGGGUGUGUGUAUCUACUGAUUUCGAUCUCAGAAGAUUAACAAGAGCCAUCAUAGAGUCCAUUGAUGGUGCCUUGUGGUCUUCAAGAAUUGGAUCCCUUGCAACAAUGCCUCCAACAAAAGUUAAAUGGAAAGAAGUUUUUGCUUGUAUUGGAUGAUGUGUGGGAUGAUUAUGGUGAUAGGUGGAAUAAAUUGAAGGAGGUAUUAAGGUGUGGAGCUAAAGGUAGUGCUGUCAUAGUAACUACGCGUAUUGAGAUGGUUGCUGAUAGAAUGGCAACAACUUCUGUCAAGCAAUUGGGGAGAUUGUCUGAAGAAGAUUCUUGGCAGUUGUUUCAACAGCUUGCAUUCGGGAUGAGAAGGAAAGAGGAGCGGGCACACCUGGAAGCUAUUGGAGUGUCAAUAGUCAAGAAGUGUGGUGGUGUUCCUUUAGCUAUAAAGGCACUAGGGAACCUAAUGCGGCUAAAAGAAAGUGAAGAUCAGUGGAUAGCUGUCAAAGAAAGUGAGAUUUGGGAUCUAAGAGAAGAAGCAAGCGAGAUCUUACCUGCUUUGAGGUUGAGUUACACUAAUCUAUCACCACAUUUGAAGCAAUGCUUUGCGUAUUGCGCUAUAUUUCCAAAAGAUCGGGUGAUGAGGGGGGAGGAGUUGGUUGCUUUGUGGAUGGCAAAUGGUUUUAUUUCUUGCAGAAGAGAAAUGGAUUUGCACGUUAUGGGUAUUGAGAUAUUCAAUGAGCUAGUGGGAAGGUCAUUUCUGCAAGAGGUCGAGGAUGAUGGAUUUGGCAACAUAACAUGUAAAAUGCAUGAUCUUAUGCAUGAUCUUGCACAAUCCAUUGCAGUACAAGAAUGCUAUA